Molecule: long non-coding RNA, 69635 nt
Filed under: Triticum aestivum (bread wheat)
Lineage: Eukaryota; Viridiplantae; Streptophyta; Magnoliopsida; Poales; Poaceae
Description: long non-coding RNA (TAES_LNC017278)
Rfam family: MIR1120/MIR1122 microRNA precursor family (bases 43142-43266)
Source: RNAcentral
CAUUCCCCAACAAAUUGAUUUACAUGUGAACAAUGAUCAUCAUCAUCAUCAACAUCAUAGCCCUGUCAUCAACACCAUCUAAUUCAUCUUACUAAACCAAAAACCAGAACGAAGAACAAAAAUGAAGUGAUAGGCAGAGUCGCUAGUACUCCAUCUCCAACUGUCCAAGAGAAAAGGAAGCCACCGACCGAGAACAACCGAUCCAUAACUUGUUGUAAGUGAUCAGUCUAAUCGACGACUACCAAGUCAUCAUCUGUGUAUAUAUGGUUGUACGACGAGUCCAUAUCAUGCACGACAAGCUUCUCGGCGGUGACGCUAGUGCCGGUGGCGUUGUUGAACAUGUAGACCCCCGCUGCCGCGUAGAUGGCCUCGGUCGGGUACGCCCUCGACGUUGCUGUCAACCUCCCGCCCAUCGCGAAGCUCUGCACAAUGGAGUGGUCCACGAGCACCCUAACGGAAAAAUCUUCGCCGUCGAGCACUGGCACCGUGCUACCCACCACCCGCUUCACCACGUCACUAGCAUGCGACGAGCGCAACUCGUCGUGGCAGAAGUGAGUCCGAAGACCACCGUCGAGGCCCUUGGACACAUAGAAGUACACUCCCGUCUGUUCGGUCAGGGCGCGGUUGGCGAGGACAAGGAGGCCGAAGGGGCCAAGCGCGCCGCGGGUGGCAGCCCCGCUGCUGGUGGUGCAGUUGUAGCUAACAUCGGCCUCGUUGAGGGCCUCAAUGGCGGAGGCAUCGAUGCGGAAGGUUGCCUCGAUGUCGAGCUGAGCGGUCUGAUGGAGGGGGAGGAAGGCAACGGAGCCGGCGCCGACGGUGAUGCCGCUGAGAUCGGUGGUGUUGAUGCGGAGGGCAUCGAGCUCCUCCACAGGCCAUUGGACGAGGUUCGUCCGGGUCUUCUCGUCAAGCUCCACUGUCCUCGGAAUCGACUGCACGCACAACACACACCAUUAAGUCAGUGGAUCCAAUAAUUCAAAAUAGUUAAGGCCAUCGAUCAUGAGUGCACAUUCACAUCAUGAACUUGAAGAAAAAAACAUAUCUGCAAAUGAUUCUUGCUUAAUUAAUAUAAAGGGUGCCGCGCCCUGCACCUAUUUCCAUUAAAGAACAUUAGCACACGAACAAAAAGGCUUCACAUAAUUAACAUCAAAGAUUCGAAGGAAGAAAGUCCCGAUUUGAUUUGGUGCGGUUUGUUAGCUGGGAACGGACUCCACGUGCGACUGACCAGGCAUGCACAUGAUGUUUGUUUGUAUAUGGUUGUUGAGCUACACUAGAGAUGGUGAAGUGGGCACUACAUCGACAGUGUAUUGGCUCUUGGAAGUUGCAACGAGAUGGUGAAAGUGACCAAAGAAAACUAGUCCUGAAAUUCAGCCGCCCGGCCGGCCUAUCGACCGAUGAGUAACAUAUAAUUAACCAUCAUGCACCUACCUCGAGGAUUAAUAAUACAAGUAAUUACUGGUUGAAAAAAAAUACUUACUACGUUUCAAAUUGAACGGCGUACUACGCUUGGUUGGGAUAAACUUUUUGAUACGAUGCAAUAUGCAAUAUAUAAAUUGAAAGGCAGAGAUUGGUGCAAUGUGUUUGCCAUUUGGGUACUUAAUUAGUUUAGUAAUUAACUAGAUACCAAAUCGAGCGUGCAGCCAAGGAAGGGGCCGACCAUGUUCUCCAGAUCUCAAGCUUUUGACAGCUCAGCCAGACAGCAACCCACAGCCUAGAGCCGUCCGUUAUUAGUUUUUUUAUUACACAACAAAAAAGACAAACGACAUCAUGACUGCGACGCCGCACAGCUAGUGCUCUACGUACUGUUGUUACUGGCCCAUGGCUGUCACACCAAGGAUCUACCCCACCCAAGAUUGCAAAACCAACGGUGCAGCUAAUGAUGUCGAUCAAUGAUGAUAAAACGUAAUGUAAAAUUAAGACAAUCGUGUCAAUGUACUUUAGUGUGGGUAGGGUGAUAGUUACCUGGAGGUUGGCCCACCCCUUGGUGAUGUCGGCGCGCUCCGAGUCGGUCUCGCCGACGUACGCCCACACGACGCGCCGCUUCUUCACGGGGUCGUAGAAGGACUUGGACGCGUAGUACUUGCCCCAGUCGUACCGCAGCCCGACGCCGAGCUCCAGCUCCUCGUCGAUCGGCGUCCACUUGUUGGCGGCGGCGUCGAACCGGCCCAGCGAGUACCAGUCGUGCCGGUCGUCGUCGCUGCUCUCCUUGAGCACGUACAGCACGUCCUCGGCCGUCGAGUUGUACAUGUCGCUGGCCUUGCGGCCCCCGCCGACGGCGUAGAGGUCGAUGCACUCGUACUCGCCGGUGCCCUUGGGGCCGCGGUACAUGUACCCCGGCAUCAGCUCGUAGCUGAGGAAGUCCUUGGUCUUGUAGGAGAAGACGAUGCCGGAGUGGUCCGAGUCGUUCUUGGAGCCGAUGAUGGUGCGCCACGUGCCGUCGGACUCGUCGAACCACGCGGUGGUGGGGUCGCGGAAGUCCUUCAUGCCGAUGCCGGGGGGCGGGAACACGACGGGGUUGGCGGGGUGCUUGACCCACUCGCGGAGGAGGGGAUCGCUCGGGUCGGCGGGCUCCGCGAGGCAGGUCACCUGCGCAAAGGUCUCGGUGUUCCCCGUGUAGAGGAGGAUGACCUUGCCGUCGGGGAGCACGGUGAUGGAGCCGGUGAGGACGCCCUUGAUGUCGUACCACUGGUCGGGCACCAAGGCCGGCGGGAGGUGGCGCCAGUGAAUGAGGUCCUUGGACACGGCGUGGCCCCACACGAUUUGGGGCUCCCACACGGAGCCCGACGGGUUGUACUGGUAGAAGAAGUGGUACCAUCCGCCAUAGUAAACCGGACCUGCAAUGGAUGCACACAAUGUAUUUCAGUCAAAUAUAUUCCACAUCUUUAGAAAAAAGUUAGUACAAUAUAUUCCACAGGUGAUGAAUCUCUGAACAAGUAAGAAUAUUCGAUCCAUGGAUCAGUUGGGUGGUGCGUGUACUGACCGUUGGGAUCUGCAUGAGGUAGCCGGAGAAUGCCGCCGCCGGGGAGCAAACAAAACGGGAAGCAGAGGCAGCGAGGUCAGUUUCUGGAUCAAACCAAGCCGGAAAAAAAGGAAAAGAAAUUUGGAUCUGAAGAUUUAACCGAAGGGAGGAUGAACUGGGGCAGUAUAUACCGUUCUGGUAGUACUUGUCCGGCUGGAAAUGGUAGCCGGUGCGCUGCCACUGCAGCAUGGCGUUGCUCCACGGGAACGCGUUGGCGGAGUAGGCCCCCGACGUCUUCUCCGACACGCCGUGCUCCUUGCCCCUGCUCCUCGGGAACUCCGUCGCCGGGGUCGCCGGCACGGAGGCGGCCACCGCGUCCCAGCCCGCCCCGCUGGCCCCGAAGACCGCGGCGGCGACGACGAGCGCCACCACGGCCGAGGCGGCCAGCACGGCGGCGCACGCGCGCCACCUCAGGCCACCGCCGCCGGCCCGCUCCUCCUCGAUGCCCUUGGCGUCCGCGGAGGAGGACGGCAGCUGCUCGUAGGCGUACGGCAGCGGCGGCGUGCCGGGGAUGAGUAUGACGCGAGACGAAUCCAUGGCGCCGCCGCUGCUGGCCCGAUGAUCCCGAGGUAACUCGGUAGAUUCUUUUCUGACCGAUGGAUGGGUGGUGGCUUCAGUGGGGGAGCGGGGGAGAUUUAUAGCUGGGGUUCGGGGGUAAAGAUGGGAUUUUUUUGGGAUGGAACCAGCUGGGGUUUUGCGUAGGGUUUUGGCAUCUACCGUCCGUUGCAAAACAAAAACACCUCACGCUUAGUUUUUGCUUUUGCGAUGACACCUCACACUUUGUUGCACAUGCUCUUUGUUCUUGUGUUUAUGGCAAUGAGAAGGCAUUACUGCUCUUGGGCCUCUGCUGGUUUCUUGGAAAAAUAUCUACAAACAAGGUGGCCCCAUAAGAUCGGCGGAUCCUCUCGCCGCGACUCCUUUUAGUAGGUGGUUGCGAUUCAUCAACAUUGCAUUUAAAAAAAAAAUUGUACACAUGUACAAGCUUGUGUUCCUAUUGCCCACAUAAAUGUUCAGGCCAAUAAAAUCAACCUAUGUGUCAUGUAUUAAAAAACAUGUUCCAUGCUUAAGAAUGACUUACUUCAGCAUUGGUUUUUAUUUUGUUUUUAAAGGCAUAAAUCUUAUGUUUUACAUGAUUUGCCGCCUCAUAUGCCUUUCAGAAAUUGCUUGUCCUAGAGAUUAUGCCGAGUUCGUUAAGAAGGAAACAAUGGUUGUUUGUAAAAGGGAGUGUGUAGAUGUAAAAGGGAGUGUGUAGAUGCAUGGGUCUAUUUCAUGGUUCUGUCAUCGCAUAAGAUGUUCUUCAAAGAGGUUAUGGUCAAACUACGUUGAAAAAGAACACAUGUUUUUGCACCGGACUUAAACGUGUCUGGUAAGAGACGUUGCAUACUGAACACCAAUAUUUGAAGGAAAAAUAAAUUGGUCUGGAAACUAAACUUGUUGAAGAGGUUAUGAGCAACUACAUUGAAAAGGAACACACGUGUGCUUGCAAGAGACUAUUGCGUGGCCUAUAAGAAAUGUUCCAUAUGACGACAUGAUGCAGAAACAUGAUAAUACAUUGGUUUUGCUUUUAAUUUUCAGGGGCAUACACCUUAAGGUUUUUGAGGAUUUGUCGUCUUUUGAUGUAUAGUUGCUUGUCCAGGAGAUUAUCAUCGACAUUUUUUAAGAAGGAAACAAUGUUUGUUUGUGAUGAGGAAUGUGUAGAUGCAAAAGGUCACCACCGCCAUGUUGUCCUCUCCGUUGGCCCGUCAGGAAUCGGACAACCCUGUAAUAGGGACAAUGGGGCUUCGCGACAGAACAAGCGGACAAUAUUGCUGUCUAUUUCAUAAUUUUGUAAUUGUAUAAGGUUUUGUUGAAGAAAUUAUGAUCAACUACAUCGAAAAAGAACACAUGUCUUUGCACCGGACUUAGUCGUGUCCGGCAAGAAAUUUUGCAUACUGCGAUACAAUAGUGUGAUCAACUACGUUGAAAAAGAACACAUGUGCUUGCAUGGGACGCAUGCAUGUUCGGUAAGAAACAAUGCAUUAUACGACAUGAUAACACUACAGAACAACAAGAUUUCGAAGGAAAAUUAAAUUGAUCCAGAAACUAAUCCUUUUUCCUUCAUGAAACAAGUGCACGCAUGCAGUGAGUUAUUUUACUUCCAAAUGUCUAUUACUCCGUGAUUCCACCCACCGAGAGGAUUAUAGAUGUGGAACAGUGAAAUCCAUCAAAGCAUAUAUGUUGAGGGAAGAGAUGUAACUAGUUAUAACUUUCAAGGUAAUGACUGGACAUGAUGCAUGACACAUCACAUUAGAGCUUAUUGUCAAAAUAUUAAGGAACAAGACACCAUCGGGUUUGCAUUAGGUUCAUAAGAUUGGCAGAUUCACUUGUCGCGAUUCCUUCAGUAGGUGGUUGCGAAUGAUGAACCACAAGUAUAGGAGAUCAAUCGUAGUUCUUUUGAUAAGUAAAAGUGUCGAACCCAACAAGGAGCAGAAUGAAUUAACAAGUAGUUUUGAGCAAGGUUUCACUUCAAGUGUUGUAAAGAUAAUUUUGAUAACAAGGCAAAUAGUAACAAAAGUAAUAAAGUGCAGCAAGUGGCCCAAUCCUUCUAUAUGCUAAGGACAAGCAGGUGGUGUUUCUUAUAAUAGCUAAAACGCUCUUGAGGAGACAUGAGAAUCUCGUCAAGUUACUUUCACAACUAUUGAUUAAGUUACUGUUCCUUGCUUUGGUAAGUGUUGUGUGGGUGAACCAGAGCUAAGGUACUGUUCUAACUUGAACAAAUACCUUCUUAUGAUUAUGCCCCCCAUGCAAACAUAUGCAACUACAAGACAAGUAACUAAGAUAAAUAUAACCAUAACAUUAAACAAUAGGAUCCAAAACAGCCCCUCACGGAACAAUUCAUAAACUGGGGUUUGAGUUUCUAUCACUCCCGCGACCCAUCAUCUACAAACUAAUUCCACAAUGUCUUCCCCUAGGCCCAAAGAUGGUGAACUGUCAUGUACCCGACGUUCACAUAACACCACUAGAAGAAUAACAACACACCAUAUCGUCAAAAACAUUGAACGGUGAUCAACUUAACAUGAUUACUGGCAACAAGACUUCUCUCAUAUCCUCAAGAUAAAAUGCAACUACUCACAAGACAUCAUAUGGAUCAGGAUCAGUAGGUAUAAAUAUAUGAUGAACUAUCUGAACUCAACAAUCUUUCACCAAUAAAUCUUCUACGCAUCAACUACAAGAUGUAAUCAACACACAUAAGUACUUCGAGUUACCAAUCUAAGGUUUGAUACAAAGAUUGAACAAAAAUGUGAAGGAAAUAUUCCCUAGAGGCAAUAAUAAAGUUGUUAUUUAUAUUUCCUUAUAUCAUGAUAAAUGUUUAUUAUCCAUGCUAGAAUUGUAUUAACCGGAAACUUGAUACAUGUGUGGAUAUAUAGACAAUACACCGUGUCCCUAGUAAGCCUCUACUAGACUAGCUCGUUAAUCAAAGAUGGUUAAGUUUCCUAGCCAUAGACAUGUGUUGUCAUUUGAUGAAUGGGAUCACGUCAUUAGGAGAAUGAUGUGAUGGACAAGACCAAUCCGUUAGCUUAGCAUUAUGAUCCUUCAGUUUUAUUGCUAUUGCUUUCUUCAUGACUUAUACAUAUUCAUCUGACUAUGAGAUUAUGCAACUCCCGAAUACCGGAGGAACGCCUUGUGUGCUAUCAAACGUCACAACGUAACUGGGUGAUUAUAAAGAUGCUCUACAGGUGUCUCCGAAGGUGUUUGUUGGGUUGGCAUAGAUCAAGAUUAGGAUUUGUCACUCCGUGUAUCGGCGAGGUAUCUCUGGGCCCUCUCGGUAAUGCACAUCAUAAUAAGCCUUGCAAGCAAUGUGACUAAUGAGUUAGUUACGGGAUGAUGUAUUACGAAACGAGUAAAGAGACUUGCCGGUAACGAGAUUGAAGACUAGGUAUGAAGAUACCGACGAUCGAAUCUCGGGCAAGUAACAUACCGAUGACAAAGGGAAUUACGUAUGUUGUCAUAAGGUUCGACCGAUAAAGAUCUUCGUAGAAUAUGUAGGAGCCAAUAUGGGCAUCCAGGUUCCGCUAUUGGUUAUUUACUGGAGAGGUGUCUCGGUCAUGUCUACAUAGUUCUCGAACCCAUAGGGUCCGCACGCUUAACAUUCGUUGACGAUAUAGUAUUAUAUGAGUUGUGUAUGUUGGUGACCGAAUGUUGUUCGGAGUCCCGGAUGAGAUCACGGACAUGACGAGGAGCUCUGGAAUGGUCCGGAGGUAAAGAUUCAUAUAUUGGAUGAUAUGGUUAGGUCAAGGAGUCAGGCCCAUGGGGCUAUAGGUCGGUGCAAAAGAUAGUUUUGCGGAGGUCAGAGGCCAAACGCCGGAGACCCUGGCGUCUGGCCCUGGGCCAGGCGCCGAGGCCCAUGGCGUCUGGGCCAGACGUCAAGGAUUGUGGCGUUUGGUCCUGGAGUCCGAGUGGGACUCUUGCCUUUCGGGCAAAACCGACUUUGAGGAGGCUUUUACUCCAAGUUUCGACCCCAGGGCUCAACAUAUAAAUAGAGGGGCAGGGCUAGCACCCAAGAAACAUGAAGAAUCACCAAGCCGUGUGCCAGCAACCCCGUUCCCUCUAGUUUAUCCUCCGUCAUAGUUUUUGUAGUGCUUGGCGAAGCCCUGCGGAGAUUGUUCUUCACCAACACCGUCACCACGCCGUUGUGCUGCCGGAACUCAUCUACUACUUCGCCCAUCUUACUGGAUCGAGAAGGCGAGGACGUCAUCGAGCUGAACGUGUGCUGAACGCGGAGGUGCCAUACGUUCGGUACUUGAUCGGGAUGGAUCGUGAAGGUGUACGACUACAUCAACCGCGUUGUCAAACGCUUCCGGUUUCGGUCUACGAGGGUACGUGGACACACUCUCCCUGCUCGUUGCUAUGCAUCACCAAGAUAGAUCUUGCGUGAUCGUAGGAAUUUUUUUGAAAUUACUGCAUUCCCAACAGUGGCAUCCGAGCCAGGUCUAUGCGUAGAUGUUAUAUGCACGAGUAGAACACAAAGAGUUGUGUGCGACAAUAGUCAUACUGCUUACCAGCAUGUCAUACUUUGAUUCGGCGGUAUUGUUGGAUGAAGCGGCCCAGACCGACAUUACAUGACCGCGUUCAUGAGACUGGUUCUACCGCCGUGCUUUGCACAUAGGUGGCUAGUGGGUGUCUGUUUCUCCAACUUUAGUUGAAUCGAGUGUGACUACGCCCGGUCCUUGUUGAAGGUUAAAACAACACACUUGACAAAAAAUCGUUGUGGUUUUGAUGCGUAGGUAAGAACGGUUCUUGCUAAGCCCGUAGCAGCCACGUAAAACUUGCAACAACAAAGUAGAGGAUGUCUAACUUGUUUUUGUAGGGCAUGUUGUGAUGUGAUAUGGUCAAGACGUGAUGAGAUAUAAAUUAUUGUAUGAGAUGAUCAUGUUUUGUAAAAGUUAUCGGCAACUGGCAGGAGACUUAUGGUUGUCGCUUUAUUGUAUGAAAUGCAGUCGCCAUGUAAUUGCUUUACUUUAUCACUAAGCGAUAGCGAUAGUCGUAGCAAUAGUUGGCGAGACGACAACGAUGCUACGAUAGAAAUCAAGGUGUCAAGCCGGUGACGAUGGUGAUCAUGACAGUGCUUUGGAGAUGGAGAUCAAAGGCACAAGAUGAUGAUGGCCAUAUCAUAUCACUUAUUUUGAUUGCAUGUGAUGUUUAUCCUUUAUGCAUCUUCUUUUGCUUAGUACGGCGGUAGCAUUAUAAGAUGAUCUCUCACUAAAUUUCAAGGUACAAGUGUUCUCCCUGAGUAUGCACCGUUGCUACAAAUCGUCGUGCCGAGACACCACGUGCCCCCCUCCUAGUCCAAUUCGGACCGGAGGGGGAGGGGGCGCGCGGCCUGCCCUGGCUGCCCCUCUCUCUCUCUCUCCACUAAAGCCCAUUAGGGCCCAUAUACUCCCCGGGGGGUUCCGGUAACCCCCCCCGGUACUCCUGUAUAUGCCCGAACUCUCUCGAAACCUUUCCGAUGUCCAAACAUAGUCAUCCAAUAUAUCGAUCUUUAUGUCUCGACCAUUUCGAGACUCCUCGUCAUGUCUGUGAUCAUAAUCAUAUCCGGGACUCCGAACUACCUUCGGUACAUCAAAACACAUAAACUCAUAAUAACGAUCGUCACCGAACGUUAAGCGUGCGGACCCUACGGGUUCGAGAACUAUGUAGACAUGACCGAGACUCAUCUCCGGUCAAUAACCAAUAGCGGAACCUGGAUGCUCAUAUUGGUUCCUACAUAUUCUACGAAGAUCUUUAUCGGUCAAACCGCAUAACAACAUACGUUGUUCCCUUUGUCAUCGGUAUGUUACUUGCCCGAGAUUCGAUCGUCGGUAUCUCAACACCUAGUUUAAUCUCGUUACCGGCAAGUCUCUUUACUCGUUCCGUAAUGCAUCAUCCCGCAACUAACACAUUAGUCACAUUGCUUGCAAGGCUUAUAGUGAUGUGCAUUACCGAGAGGGCCCAGAGAUACCUCUCCGACAAUCGGAGUGACAAAUCCUAAUCUCGAUCUAUGCCAACUCAACAAACACCAUUGGAGACACCUGUAGAGCACCUUUAUAAUCACCCAGUUACGUUGUGACGUUUGGUGGACGGUGCACAUAGCUUUUAACAUUACUCCUCCGAGUUCUGUCAGCUCGUUAUUUGGAACGUGGCUUAACAGGAUAGAGUCCGAAACAGCGAGCCACAUCCGCGUAGGAGUAUGUGCAUAUUUUGUGGGCAGUCUGGAACUGCAGAAAUGAUUUGGUCUUUAACAGAACAUCAAAUAUUCAUUUUUUGCAGGUUAUCUUCCGGGCCAGUGCGUUGAUCCGUAUGUGGUCGGUACUCACUCCGACGGAGGCCAGGGAGCAUUUGGUUACUGGAUCUAUCCGGUGGGAGAUGGUAGCACGGGAUGUCUUCAACCGGUUUGGAUGGCGGUCAUGUAAUAGGAUAGGCAAUUAGUUUUCCUAUCUUUUUUGUGCCAGCCGGUUGUGGCUUUUAUGGCCUUUUUAUUGGCUCUUUGUGCGCUUGUCUUUACUUUUUUCGAGACUUUACGACCUUGUUGAACCUAUUUGCUUUUUAUAAAGGUGGCCGUAUGCAUCGUUCUGAUGCAGAGGCCGGGGAGCCCCCCCCUUUCGAAAAAAAACGUUGUGACGUUUGGUAGCACACCAAGUGUUCCUCCGGUAUUCGGGAGUUGCAUAAUCUCAUAGUCAUGGGAACAUGUAUAAGUCAUGAAGAAAGCAAUAGCAACAUACUAAAGGAUCAAGUGCUAAGCUAACAAAAUGGGUCAAGUCAAUCACAUCAUUCUCUAAUGAUGUGAGCCCGUUAAUCAAAUGACAACUCAUGUCUAUGGCUAGGAAACUUAACCAUCUUUGAUUCAACGAGCUAGUCAAGUAGAGGCAUACUAGUGACACUCUGUUUGUCUAUGUAUUCACACAUGUACUAAGUUUCCGGUUAAUAUAAUUCUAGCAUGAAUAAUAAACAUUUAUCAUGAUAUAAGGAAAUAUAAAUAACAACUUUAUUAUUGCCUCUAGGGCAUAUUUCCUUCAGUCUCCCACUUGCACUAGAGUCAAUAAUCUAGUUCACAUCGCCAUGUGAUUUAACACCAAUAGUUCACAUCACCAUGUGAUUAACACCCAUAGUUCACAUCAUCAUGUGACCAACACCCAAAGGGUUUACUAGAGUCAAUAAUCUAGUUCACAUCGCUAUGUGAUUAACACCCAAAGAGUACUUAAGGUGUGAUCAUGUUUUGCUUGUGAGAGAAGUUUAGUCAACGGAUCUGCCACAUUCAGAGCCGUAUGUAUUUUGCAAAUAUUCUAUGUCUUACAAUACUCUGCACGGAACUACUAUAGCUAAUUGCUCCCACUUUCAAUAUGUAUCUAGAUUGAGACUUAGAGUCAUCCGGAUCAGUAUCAAAACUUGCAUCGAGGUAACCCUUCACGACGAACCUUUUGUCACCUCCAUAACCGAGAAACAUAUCCUUAUACCACUAAGGAUAAUUUUGACCGCUGUCCAGUGGUCCACUCCUGGAUCACUAUUGUACCCUCUUGCCAAACUCAUGGUGAGGUAUACAAUAGGUCUGGUACACAGCAUGGCAUACUUUAUAGAACCUAUGACUGAGGCAUUGGGAAUGACUUUUCAUUCUAUUUCUAUUUUCUGCCGUGGUCGGGUUUUGAGUCUUUACUCAACAUCACACCUUGCAAUACAGGCAAGAGCUCUUUCUUUGAUUGUUCCAUUUUGAACUACUUCAAAAUCUUGUCAAGGUAUGUACUCAUUGAAAAAACAUAUCAAGCGUCUUGAUCGAUCUCUAUAGAUCUUGAAGCUCAAUAUGUAAGCAGCUUCACCGAGGUCUUUCUAUGAAAAACUCCUUUCAAACACUCCUUUAUGCUUCCAGAAAAUUCUACAUCAUUUCCGAUCAACAAUAUGUCAUUCACAUAUACUUAUCAGAAAGGCUGUAGUGCUCCCACUCACUUUCUUGUAAAUACAGGCUUCACUGCAAGCCUGUAUAAAACUAUAUGCUUUGAUCAACUCAUCAAACCGUAUAUUCCAACUCCGAGAUGCUUGCACCGGUCCAUAGAUGGAUCGCUGGAGCUUGCACAUUUUGUUAGCACCUUUAGGAUUGACAAAACCUUCUGGCUGCAUCAUAUACAACUCUUUUUUAAUAAAUCCAUUAAGGAAUGCAGUUUUGUUAUUCAUUUGCCAGAUUUCAUAAAAUGCGGCAAUUGGUAACAUGAUUCGGACAGACUUAAGCAUCGAUGCGAGUGAGAAAAUCUCAUUGUAGUCAACACCUUGAACUUGUCGAAAACCUUUUGCGAUAAUUCGAUCUUUGUAGAUAGUAACACUACCAUCAGCGUCCGUCUUCCUCUUGAAAAUCCAUUUAUUCUCAAUGGCUUGCCGAUCAUCGGGCAAUUCCACCAAAGUCCAUACUUUGUUCUCAUACAUGGAUCCCAUCUCAGAUUUUAUGGCCCAUUUUGCGGAAUCUGGGCUCAUCAUCGCUUCCUCAUAGUUCGUAGGUUUUUCAUGGUCUAGUAACAUGACUUCCAGAACAGGAUUACCGUACUACUCUGGCGGGGAACGUACUCUGGUUGACCUACGAGGUUCGGUAGCAACUUGAUUUGAAGUUUCAUGAUCAUCAUCAUUAGCUUCCUCACUAAUUGGUGUAGGAAUCACUAGAACUGAUUUAUGUGAUGAACUACUUUCCAAUAAGGGAGCAGGUACAUUUACCUCAUCAAGUUCUACUUUCCUCCCACUCACUUCUUUCGAGAGAAACUCCUUCUCAAGAAAGGAUCCAUUCUUAGCAACGAAUAUCUUGCCUUCGGAUCUGUGAUAGAAGGUGUACCCAACAGUCUCCUUUGGGUAUCCUAUGAAGACACAUUUCUCCGAUUUGGGUUCGAGCUUAUCAGGUUGAAGCUUUUUCACAUAAGCAUCACAUCCCCAAACUUUAAGAAACGAAAACUUGGGUAUCUUGCCAAACCACAGUUCAUAUGGUGUGGUCUCAACGGAUUUAGAUGGUGCCCUAUUUAACGUGAAUGCAGCUGUCUCUAAUGCAUAACCCCAAAACGAUUGUGAUAAAUCGGUAAGACAUCAUAGAUCGCACCAUAUCUAAUAAAAUACGGUUAUGACAUUCGGACACACCAUUACGCUGUGGUGUUCCAGGUGGCGUGAGUUGCGAAACUAUUCCGCAUUGUUUCAAAUGAAGACCAAACUCAUAACUCAAAUAUUCUCCUCCAUGAUCAGAUUGUAGAAACUUUAUUUUCUUGUUACGAUGAUUUUCCACUUCACUCUGAAUUUUUUUGAACUUUUCAAAUGUUUCAGACUUAUGUUUCAUCAAUUAGAUAUACCCAUAUCUGCUCAAAUCAUCUGUGAAGGUGAGAAAAUAAUGAUACCCGCCGCGAACCUCAAUAUUCAUCGGACCACAUACAUCAGUAUGUAUGAUUUCCAACAAAUCUAUUGUUCGCUCCAUUGUUCCAGAGAACGGAGUUUUAGUCAUCUUGCCCAUGAGGCAUGGUUCGCAAGCAUCAAGUGAUUCAUAAUCAACUGAUUCCAAAAGCCCAUCAGCAUGGAGUUUCUUCAUGCGCUUUACACCAAUAUGACCUAAACGGCAGUGUCACAAAUAAGUUGCACUAUCAUUAUUAACUUUGCAUCUUUUGGCUUCAAUAUUAUGAAUAUGUGUAUCACUACGAUCGAGAUUCAAUAAACCAUUUAUAUUGAGUGUAUGACCAUAGAAGGUUUUAUUGAUGUAAAUAGAACAACAAUUAUUCUAUGACUUUAAUGAAUAACCGUAUUGCAAUAAACAUGAUCCAAUCAUAUUCAUGCACAACGCAAACACCAAAUAACAUUUAUUUUAGGUUCAACACUAAUCCCGACGGUAAGGGAGUGUGCGAUGGUGAUCUUAUCCUUGGAAUCACUUCCAACACACAUCAUCACCUUGCCCUUAACUAGUCUCUGUUUAUUUGCAACUCCCGUUUCGAGUUACUACUCUUAGCAACUGAACCAGUAUCAAAUACCGAGGGGUUGCUAUAAACACUAGUAAAGUACACAUCAAUAACAUGUAUAUCAAAUAUACCUUUGUUCACUUUGCAUCCUUCUUAUCCGCCAAGUAUCUAGGGCAGUUCCACUUCCAGUGACCAUUUCCUUUGCAGUAGAAGCAUUUAGUUUCCGGCUUGGGUCUAGCUUUGGGGUUCUUCAUGGGAGUGGCAACUUGCUUGCCAUUCUUUCUUGAAGUUCCCUUUCUUUCCCUUGCCCUUUUACUUCAAACUAGUGGUCUUGUUAACAAUCAACACUUGAUGCUCUUUCUUGAUUUCUACCUUCGCCGAUUUUAGCAUCGCGAAGAGCUCGCGAAUCGUUUUCGUCCAUCCCUUACAUAUUAUAGUUCACCACGAAGUUUUAGUAACUUGUUGAUGUGACUAGAGAACUCUGUCAAUCACUAUAUUUUCUGGAAGAUUAACUCCCACUUUAUUCAAGUGAUUGUAGUACUCAGACAUUUUGACCACAUGCUCACUGGUUGAGCUAUUCUCAUCCAUCUUGUAGGCAAAGUAAUUGUCAGAGGUCUCAUACCUCUCAACACGGGCAUGAGUCUGAAAUACCAAUUUCAACUCUUGGAACAUCUCAUAUGCUCCAUGUCGUUCAAAACAUUUUUGAAGUCCCGGUUCUAAGCCGUAAAGCAUGGUGCACUAAACUAUCAAGUGUUGAAAUAUGUCCUAGAGGCAAUAAUAAAUGGUUAUUAUUAUAUUUCUUUGUUCAUGAUAAUUGUCUAUUGUUCAUGCUAUAAUUGUGUUAUCCGGAAAUCGUAAUGCAUGUGUGAAUACAUAGACCACAACGUGUCCCUAGUAAGCCUCUAGUUGACUAGCUCGUUGAUCAACAGAUAGUCAUGGUUUCCUGACUAUGGACAUUGGAUGUCAUUGAUAACGGGAUCACAUCAUUAGGAGAAUGAUGUGUUGGACAAGACCCAAUCCUAAGCAUAGCUCAAAGAUCGUGUAGUUCGUUUGCUAGAGCUUUUCCAAUGUCAAGUAUCUUUUCCUUAGACCAUGAGAUCGUGCAACUCCCGGAUGCCGUAGGAGUGCUUUGGGUGUGACAAACGUCACAACGUAACUGGGUGACUAUAAAGGUGCACUACGGGUAUCUCCGAAAGUGUCUGUUGGGUUGGCACGGAUCGAGACUGGGAUUUGUCACUCCGUAUGACGGAGAGGUAUCUCUGGGCCCACUCGGUAAUGCAUCAUCAUAAUGAGCUCAAUGUGACUAAGGAGUUAGCCACGGGAUCAUGUAUUACGGUACGAGUAAAGAGACUUGCCGGUAACGAGAUUGAACAAGGUAUUGGGAUACCGACGAUCGAAUCUCGGGCAAGUAACAUACCGAUUGACAAAGGGAAUUGAAUACGGGAUUGAUUGAAUCCUCGACAUCGUGGUUCAUCCGAUGAGAUCAUCGUGGAACAUGUGGGAGCCAACAUGGGUAUCCAGAUCCCGCUGUUGGUUAUUGACCGGAGAGGCGUCUCGGUCAUGUCUGCAUGUCUCCCGAACCCGUAGGGUCUACACACUUAAGGUUCGGUGACGCUAGGGUUGUAGAGAUAUGAGUAUGCGGAAACCCGAAAGUUGUUCGGAGUCCCGGAUGAGAUCCUGGACGUCACGAGGAGUUCCGGAAUGGUCCGGAGGUGAAUAAUUAUAUAUAGGAAGUCAAGUUUCGGCCACCGGGAAAGUUUCGGGGGUUAUCGGUAUUGUACCGGGACCACCGGAAGGGUGCCGGGGGUCCACCGGGUGGGGCCACCUAUCCCGGAGGGCCCCAUGGGCUGAAGUGGGAAGGGAACCAGCCCUUAGUGGGCUGGGGCGCCCCCCAUGGGCCUCCCCCUGCGCCUAGGGUUGGAAACCCUGGGGUGGGGGGCGCCCCACUUGCCUUGCGGGGCAAGUUUCCCCCCUGGCCGCCGCCGCCCCCUUUAGAUGGGAUCCAGGCCGGCGGCCCCCCCUCCCAGGGGGCCUAUAUAUAGUGGGGGGAGGGAGGGCAGCAGUACCACAGCCCCUGGCGCCUCCCUCUCCCCCUGCAACACCUCUCCCUCUCGCAGAAGCUUGGCGAAGCCCUGCCGAGAUCCCGCUACAUCCACCACCACGCCGUCGUGCUGCUGGAUCUCCAUCAACCUCUCCUUUCCCCUUGCUGGAUCAAGAAGGAGGAGACGUCGCUGCUCCGUACGUGUGUUGAACGCGGAGGUGCCGUCCGUUCGGCACUCGGUCAUCGGUGAUUUGGAUCACGGCGAGUACGACUCAAUCAACCCCGUUCAUUAGAACGCUUCCGCUCGCGAUCUACAAGGGUAUGUAGAUGCACUCCUUUCCCCUCGUUGCUAGUAUACUCCAUAGAUGGAUCUUGGUGAUGCGUAGGAAAUUUUAAAAUUCUGCUACGAUCCCCAACAGUGGCAUCAUGAGCCAGGCCUAUGCGUAGUUACUAUGCACGAGUAGAACAGAAAGCAGUUGUGGGCGUAGAUGUUGUCAAUUUUUCUUGCCACUACUAGUCUUAUCUUGUUUCGGCGGUAUUGUGGGAUGAAGCGGCCCGGACCGACCUUACACGUACGCUUACGUGAGACAGGUUCCACCGACUGACAUGCACUAGUUGCAUAAGGUGGCUAGCGGGUGUCUGUCUCUCCCACUUUAGUCGGAACGGAUUCGAUGAAAAGGGUCCUUAUGAAGGGUAAAUAGAAAUUGGCAUAUCACGUUGUGGUCUUACGUAGGUAAGAAAUGUUCUUGCUAGAAACCUAUAGAAGCCGCGUAAAAACUUGCAACAACAAUUAGAGGACGUCUAACUUGUUUUUGCAGCAUGUGCCUUGUGAUGUGAUAUGGCCAGAAGAUGUGAUGAAUGAUAUAUGUGAUGUAUGAGAUUGAUCAUAUUCUUGUAAUAGGAAUCACGACUUGCAUGUCGAUGAGUAUGACAACCGGCAGGAGCCAUAGGAGUUGUCUUUAUUAUUUUGUAUGACCUGCGUGUCAUUGAAUAACGCCAUGUAAUUUACUUUACUUUAUUGCUAAACGCGUUAGCCAUAGAAGUAGAAGUAAUCGUUGGUGUGACAACUUCAUGAAGACACGAUGAUGGAGAUCAUGAUGAUGGAGAUCAUGGUGUCAUGCCGGUGACGAAGAUGAUCAUGGCGCCCCGAAGAUGGAGAUCAAAGGAGCAAAAUGAUAUUGGCCAUAUCAUGUCACUAUUUGAUUGCAUGUGAUGUUUAUCAUGUUUUGCAUCUUAUUUGCUUAGAACGACGGUAGUAAGUAAGAUGAUCCCUUAUAAUAAUUUCAAGAAAGUGUUCCCCCUAACUGUGCACCAUUGCGAAGGUUUGUUGUUUCGAAGCACCACGUGAUGAUCGGGUGUGAUAGAUUCUAACGUUCGCAUACAACGAGUGUUGACGAGCCUAGCAUGUACAGACAUGGCCUCGGAACACACGCAAUACACUUAGGUUGAGUUGACGAGCCUAGCAUGUACAGACAUGGACUCGGAACACGGAAGACCGAAAGGUCGAGCAUGAGUCGUAUAGAAGAUACGAUCAACAUGGAGAUGUUCACCGAUCUUGACUAGUCCGUCUCACGUGAUGAUCGGACACGGCCUAGUUAACUCGGAUCAUGUUUCACUUAGAUGACUAGAGGGAUUUCUAUCUGAGUGGGAGUUCAUUGAAUAAUUUGAUUAGAUGAACUUAAUUAUCAUGAACUUAGUCUAAAAUCUUUACAAUAUGUCUUGUAGAUCAAAUGGCCCACGUUGUCCUCAACUUCAACGCGUUCCUAGAGAAAACCAAGCUGAAAGAUGAUGGCAGCAACUAUACGGACUGGGUCCGGAACCUGAGGAUCAUCCUCAUAGCUGCCAAGAAAGAUUAUGUCCUAGAAGCACCGCUAGGUGAAGCACCAAUCCCAGAGAACCAAGAUGUUAUGAACGCUUGGCAAUCACAUGCUGAUGAUUACUCCCUCGUUCAGUGCGGCAUGCUUUACAGCUUAGAACCGGGGCUCCAAAAGCGUUUUGAGAAACAUGGAGCAUAUGAGAUGUUCGAAGAGCUGAAAAUGGUUUUCCAAGCUCAUGCCCGGGUCGAGAGAUAUGAAGUCUCCGACAAGUUCUUCAGUUGUAAAAUGGAGGAAAAUAGUUCUGUCAGUGAGCACAUACUCAGAAUGUCUGGGUUACACAACCGCUUGUCUCAGCUGGGAGUUAAUCUCCAGGAUGACGCGGUCAUUGACAGAAUCCUUCAGUCGCUUCCACCGAGCUACAAGAGCUUUGUGAUGAACUUCAAUAUGCAAGGGAUGGAAAAGACCAUUCCUGAGGUAUAUUCAAUGCUGAAAUCAGCGGAGGUGGAGAUCAGAAAAGAACAUCAAGUGUUGAUGGUGAAUAAAACCACUAAGUUCAAGAAAGGCAAGGGUAAGAAGAACUUCAAGAAGGACGGCAAGGGAGUUGCCGCGCCCGGUAAGCCAGUUGCCGGGAAGAAGUCAAAGAAUGGACCCAAGCCUGAGACUGAGUGCUUUUAUUGCAAGGGAAGUGGUCACUGGAAGCGGAACUGCCCCAAAUACUUAGCGGACAAGAAGGCCGGCAAUACCAAAGGUAUAUGUGAUAUACAUGUAAUUGAUGUGUACCUUACAGUACUCGUAGUAGCUCUUGGGUAUUUGAUACCGGUGCGGUUGCUCAUAUUUGUAACUCAAAACAGGAGCUGCGGAAUAAACGGAGACUGGCGAAGGACGAGGUGACGAUGCGCGUCGGGAAUGGUUCCAAGGUCGAUGUGAUCGCCGUCGGCACGCUACCUCUGCAUUUACCUACGGGAUUAGUUUUAAACCUCAAUAAUUGUUAUUUAGUGCCAGCUUUGAGCAUGAACAUUGUAUCUGGAUCUCGUUUAAUGCGAGAUGGCUACUCAUUUAAAUCCGAGAAUAAUGGUUGUUCUAUUUAUAUGAGAGAUAUGUUUUAUGGUCAUGCCCCGCUGGUCAAUGGUUUAUUCUUAAUGAAUCUUGAACGUGAUGUUGCACAUAUUCAUAGUGUGAAUACCAAAAGAUGUAAAGUUGAUAACGAUAGUCCCACAUACUUGUGGCACUGCCGCCUUGGUCACAUUGGUGUCAAGCGCAUGAAGAAGCUCCAUGCAGAUGGACUUUUAGAGUCUCUCGGUUAUGAAUCAUUUGACACAUGCGAACCAUGCCUCAUGGGCAAGAUGACCAAGACUCCGUUCUCCGGAACAAUGGAGCGAGCAAUCAAUUUAUUGGAAAUCAUACAUACCGAUGUGUGCGGUCCAAUGAGUGUUGAGGCUCGCGGAGGAUAUCGUUAUGUUCUCACUCUCACUGAUGACUUAAGUAGAUAUGGGUAUGUCUACCUAAUGAAACACAAGUCUGAGACCUUUGAAAAGUUCAAGGAAUUUCAGAGUGAGGUUGAGAAUCAACGUGACAGGAAAAUAAAGUUCCUACGAUCAGAUCGUGGAGGAGAAUAUUUAAGUCACGAAUUUGGCACACACUUAAGGAAAUGUGGAAUAGUUUCACAACUCACGCCGCCUGGAACACCUCAGCGAAAUGGUGUGUCCGAACAUCGUAAUCGCACUCUAUUGGAUAUGGUGCGGUCUAUGAUGUCUCUUACCGAUCUACCGCUCUCAUUUCGGGGCUAUGCUUUAGAGACUGCCGCAUUUACUUUAAACAGGGCUCCGUCGAAAUCCGUUGAGACGACACCGUAUGAAUUAUGGUUUGGGAAGAAACCUAAGCUGUCGUUUCUAAAAGUUUGGGGAUGCGAUGUUUAUGUCAAGAAACUUCAACCUGAAAAGCUCGAACCCAAGUCGGAAAAAUGUGUCUUCAUAGGAUACCCUAAGGAAACCAUUGGGUAUACCUUCUACCUCAGAUCCGAAGGCAAGAUCUUUGUUGCCAAGAACGGGUCCUUUCUGGAGAAAGAGUUUCUCUCGAAAGAAUUGAGUGGGAGGAAAGUGGAACUUGAUGAGAUGAUAGUCACCCCUUCCGAACCGAAAAGUAGCGCAGCGCGGGAAGUUGUUCCUGUGGUGCCUACACCGACUGGGGAGGAAGUUAAUGAUGAUGAUCAUGAAGCUUCGGAUCAAGUUACUGCUGAACUUCGAAGGUCCACAAGGACACGUUCCGCACCAGAGUGGUACGGCAACCCUGUCCUGGAAAUCAUGUUGUUAGACAACGGUGAACCUUCGAACUAUGAAGAAGCGAUGGCGGGCCCGGAUUCCGACAAAUGGCUAGAAGCCAUGAAAUCCGAGAUAGGAUCCAUGUAUGAAAACGAAGUAUGGAGUUUGACUGACUUGCCCGAUGAUCAGCGAGCCAUAGAAAAUAAAUGGAUCUUUAAGAAGAAGACAGACGCGGAUGGUAAUGUGACCAUCUAUAAGGCUCGACUUGUCGCUAAGGGUUAUCGACAAGUUCAAGGGGUUGACUACGAUGAGACUUUCUCACCCGUAGCGAAGCUGAAGUCCGUCCGAAUCAUGUUAGCAAUUGCCGCAUUCUAUGAUUAUGAGAUAUGGCAAAUGGACGUCAAAACGGCAUUCCUUAACGGCUUUCUUAAGGAAGAAUUGUAUAUGAUGCAGCCGGAAGGUUUUGUCGAUCCUAAGAAUGCUAACAAAGUAUGCAAGCUCCAGCGCUCAAUCUAUGGGCUGGUGCAAGCAUCUCGGAGUUGGAACAUUCGCUUUGAUGAGAUGAUCAAAGCGCUUGGGUUUACACAGACUUAUGGAGAAGCCUGUGUUUACAAGAAAGUGAGUGGGAGCUCUGUAGCAUUUCUCAUAUUAUAUGUGGAUGACAUACUAUUGAUGGGAAAUGAUAUAGAAUUCUUGGAAAGUAUAAAGGCCUAUUUGAAUAAGUGUUUUUCAAUGAAGGACCUUGGAGAAGCUGCUUAUAUAUUAGGCAUCAAGAUCUAUAGAGAUAGAUCAAGACGCCUCAUUGGUCUUUCACAGAGUACAUACCUUGACAAGAUAUUGAAGAAGUUCAAUAUGGAUCAGUCCAAGAAGGGGUUCUUGCCUGUAUUGCAAGGUGUGCAAUUGAGCACGGCUCAAUGCCCGACCACGGCAGAAGAUAGAGAAAAGAUGAGUGUCAUCCCCUAUGCCUCGGCCAUAGGGUCUAUUAUGUAUGCCGUGCUGUGUACCAGACCUGAUGUAAACCUUGCCGUGAGUUUGGUAGGAAGGUACCAAAGUAAUCCCAGCAUGGAACACUGGACAGCGGUCAAGAAUAUCCUGAAGUACCUGAAGAGGACUAAGGAUAUGUUUCUCGUUUAUGGAGGUGACGAAGAGCUCGUCGUAAAGGGUUACGUCGGCGCUAGCUUCGACACAGAUCUGGAUGACUCGAAGUCACAAACCGGAUACGUGUAUAUUUUGAAUGGAGGGGCAGUAAGCUGGUGCAGUUGCAAGCAAAGCUUCGUGGCGGGAUCUACAUGUGAAGCGGAGUACAUGGCGGCCUCAGAGGCAGCACAGGAAGCAGUCUGGAUAAAGGAGUUCAUUACCGACCUAGGGGUGAUUCCCAAUGCAUCGGGCCCGAUGACUCUCUUCUGUGACAACACUGGAGCUAUUGCCCUUGCGAAGGAGCCCAGGUUUCACAGGAAGACCAGGCAUAUCAAGCGUCGCUUUAACUCCAUUCAUGAAAGUGUUCAAAAUGGAGACAUAGAUAUUUGUAAAGUACAUACGGACCUGAAUGUAGCAGAUCCGUUGACUAAACCUCUCCCUAGAGCAAAACAUGAUCAACACCAGAAUGCUAUGGGUGUUCGAUUCAUCACAAUGUAACUAGAUUAUUGACUCUAGUGCAAGUGGGAGACUGUUGGAAAUAUGCCCUAGAGGCAAUAAUAAAUGGUUAUUAUUAUAUUUCUUUGUUCAUGAUAAUUGUCUAUUGUUCAUGCUAUAAUUGUGUUAUCCGGAAAUCGUAAUGCAUGUGUGAAUACAUAGACCACAACGUGUCCCUAGUAAGCCUCUAGUUGACUAGCUCGUUGAUCAACAGAUAGUCAUGGUUUCCUGACUAUGGACAUUGGAUGUCAUUGAUAACGGGAUCACAUCAUUAGGAGAAUGAUGUGUUGGACAAGACCCAAUCCUAAGCAUAGCUCAAAGAUCGUGUAGUUCGUUUGCUAGAGCUUUUCCAAUGUCAAGUAUCUUUUCCUUAGACCAUGAGAUCGUGCAACUCCCGGAUGCCGUAGGAGUGCUUUGGGUGUGACAAACGUCACAACGUAACUGGGUGACUAUAAAGGUGCACUACGGGUAUCUCCGAAAGUGUCUGUUGGGUUGGCACGGAUCGAGACUGGGAUUUGUCACUCCGUAUAACGGAGAGGUAUCUCUGGGCCCACUCGGUAAUGCAUCAUCAUAAUGAGCUCAAUGUGACUAAGGAGUUAGCCACGGGAUCAUGUAUUACGGUACGAGUAAAGAGACUUGCCGGUAACGAGAUUGAACAAGGUAUUGGGAUACCGACGAUCGAAUCUCGGGCAAGUAACAUACAGAUUGACAAAGGGAGUUGAAUACGGGAUUGAUUGAAUCCUCGACAUCGUGGUUCAUCCGAUGAGAUCAUCGUGGAACAUGUGGGAGCCAACAUGGGUAUCCAGAUCCCGCUGUUGGUUAUUGACCGGAGAGGCGUCUCGGUCAUGUCUGCAUGUCUCCCGAACCCGUAGGGUCUACACACUUAAGGUUCGGUGACGCUAGGGUUGUAGAGAUAUGAGUAUGCGGAAACCCGAAAGUUGUUCGGAGUCUCGGAUGAGAUCCCGGACAUCACGAGGAGUUCCGGAAUGGUCCGGAGGUAAAGAAUUAUAUAUGGAAGUCAAGUUUCGGCCACCGGGAAAGUUUCGGGGGUUAUCGGCAUUGUACCGGGACCACCGGAAGGGUCCCGGGGGUCCACCGGGUGGGGCCACCUAUCCCGGAGGGCCCCAUGGGCUGAAGUGGGAAGGGAACCAGCCCUUAGUGGGCUGGGGUGCCCCCCAUGGGCCUCCCCCCUGCGCCUAGGGUUGGAAACCCUGGGGUGGGGGGCGCCCCACUUGCCUUGGGGGGCAAGUUUCCCCCCUGGCCGCCCCCCCCUUAGAUGGGAUCCAGGCCAGCGCCCCCCCUCCCAGGGGGCCUAUAUAUAGUGGGGGGGAGGGAGGGCAGCAGUACCACAGCCCCUGGCGCCUCCCUCUCCCCCUGCAACACCUCUCCCUCUCGCAGAAGCUUUGCGAAGCCCUGCCGAGAUCCCGCUACAUCCACCACCACGCCGUCGUGCUGCUGGAUCUCCAUCAACCUCUCCUUUCCCCUUGCUGGAUCAAGAAGGAGGAGACGUCGCUGCUCCGUAUGUGUGUUGAACGCGGAGGUGCCGUCUGUUCGGCACUCGGUCAUCGGUGAUUUGGAUCACGGCGAGUAUGACUCCAUCAACCCGUUCAUUAGAACGCUUCCGCUCGCGAUCUACAAGGGUAUGUAGAUGCACUCCUUUCCCCUCGUUGCUAGUAUACUCCAUAGAUGGAUCUUGGUGAUGCAUAGGAAAUUUUAAAAUUCUGCUACGAUCCCCAACAUCAAGUAGUCAUCAUACCGAGCUUGUCAAACGUUCAUAACGUCUGCAUCUGCUCCUGCAAUAGGUCUGUCACCUAGCGGUGCAUCAAGGACAUAAUUCUUCUGUGCAGCAAUGAGGAUAAUCCUUAGAUCACGGACCAAGUCCGCAUCAUUGCUACUAUCAUCUUUCAACUUAUUUUUCUCUAGGAACAUAUCAAAAAUAAACGGGGAGCUACAUCGCGAGCUAAUGAUCUACAACAUAGUUAUGCAAAUACUAUCAGGACUAAGUUCAUGAUAAAUUAAAGUUCAAUUUAAUCAUAUUACUUAAGAACUCCCACUUAGAUAGACAUCCCUCUAGUCAUCUAAAUGAUCACGUGAUCCAUAUCAACUAAACCAUGUCCGAUCAUCACGUGAGAUGGAGUAGUUUUCAAUGGUGAACAUAACUAUGUUGAUCAUAUCUACUAUAUGAUUCACGCUCGACCUUUCGGUCUCAGUGUUCCGAGGCCAUAUCUGCAUAUGCUAGGCUCGUCAAGUUUAACCCGAGUAUUCUGCGUGUGCCAAACUAGCUUGCACCCGUUGUAUGUGAACGUAGAGCUUAUCACACCCGAUCAUCACGUGGUGUCUCGGCACGACGAACUUUCGUAACGGUGCAUACUCAGGGAGAACACUUGUACCUUGAAAUUUAGUGAGAGGUCAUCUUAUAAUGCUACCACCGAACUAAGCAAAAUAAGAUGCAUAAAGGAUAAAAAUCACAUGCAGUCAAUAUAAGUGAUAUGAUAUGGCCAUCAUCAUCUUGUGCCUUUGAUCUCCAUCUCCAAGGCACCGUCAUGAUCACCAUCGUCACCGGCGCGACACCUUGAUCUCCAUCAUAGCAUCAUUGUCGUCUCGCCAACUAUUGCUUCUACGACUAUCGCUACCGCUUGGUGAUAAAGUAAAGCAAUUAGAUGGUGAUUACCUUUCAUACAAUAAAGCGACAACCAAAUGGCUCCUGCCAGUUGCCAAUAACUUUGUUACAAAACAUGAUCAUCCACUAGUAGAAAAAGGGGCUUUCGUUCGGGCCUGGCCAGCCCAUUAGUCCCGAUUCUUAUACGAACCGGGACCAAUGGGUGCAUUCGUCCCGGUUCGUGAGCCCAGGUGGCCGGCCGGGGCCUCGUGGGCUUUGGUCCCGGUUCGUAUGGAACCAUUUGUCCCGGUUCUAGGCACGAACCGGGACCAAUGGGCCUCGCUCCUGGCCCACAACCAUUGGUCCCGGUUCCAGCCACGAACCGGGACAAAUGAGUUGCCUAUAUAUAUAGCCCAUCGCCGGCGAGCAGAGCACUCCACACUGCUCUAUUUUUUGCUGGCCGGCGAGGGGAGGGCAUUUGGGUGCUCUAGCUCACCUCCUAUGCACAUGAGGUGUUCGAUGAAAUGUCCGAGCCACACUAGUUAAUAUUUCUUCUCUCGAAACUCGACCUCCGAGCUCCAUUUUCCCCGAGAUUUUUCUAGGUUAUAAAAAGAUAAUAUAUACCACAUCCGAAUCAUAGACAGGAUGAGGGGCGACGGGGGCAGAUACCAGAACCAUCGCACUAUAUAAUAACAGUCCAGGCCCUGUCCCGUGGUAUCUUUGACCACACGCCGCUAUUUGUGGACUCUGGUGAGCCCUCCCACCCGGGGAACAAGGAUGUGCUCUCCUUUGAGAUGGCUUGGUUUGAACGUGAAGGCUUCCUUGAUCUCGUGGCUAGAGAGUGGGCUAAGGAUUCAGGAGGAAAGACUGCGCUUCAGCGCUGGCAGAAUAAGAUUAGGCACUUGAGGAGUUUCCUGCAUGGAUGGGCUAAGCAUCUUAGCGGGAUUUAUAAGGUUGAAAAGGAAAAGCUUCUUUCCCUUAUUCAGUCCCUGGAUGUAAAAGCAGAAACCACGAUACUGCCGGCCGCGGAGCUUCAUGCCAAGCUUGACGCGGAAUUGAGGCUGAAAGAACUUCUUAGGGAAGAAGAGUUGAGGUGGGCGUUGCGGGCCAAGGUCCGGCGAGUAGUCCAGGGGGACGCGAACACUCAAUUCUUUCACAUGAUUGCUAAUGGUAAGCAUCGAAAGAAGAGGAUCUUUCAGCUUGAGCAAGAUGAGGGUACAAUUGUAGGACAGGAAAACCUAAAAUUGUACAUACCUGAGUACUAUAAGCAGUUGUUUGGCCCUCCAGAAAAUAACUGUGUGUCUCUGGAUGAGUCCAGGGUUGAGGAUGUUCCUCAGCUCACAGCUGUGGAGAAUGAUAUUCUGACGGCUCCUUUCUCCGAGAAAGAGGUACUUGAGGCCGUUUCGCAAAUGAAAAAUAACAAAGUGCCGGGCCCAGAUGGAUUUCCAGCGGAGUUCUAUAAGAAAUGCUGGCAUAUCAUUAAAGGGGAUUUGUUUCCUUUGUUCAAUGAUCUGUUUGCUGGACAGCUUCAUCUUUUUCAACUAAAUUUUGGAACGAUCACCCUUCUUCCUAAGAAAACAGAGGCUGUGAGAAUUGAGCAAUUCAGGCCAAUCUGUCUUCUUAAUGUUAGUUUAAAAAUUGUCACCAAGGUCGGGACCAAUAGGCUCUCAUAGAUCGCGCAUGCUGUUGUGCAGCCUACCCAAACUGCCUUCAUGCCGGACAGGAACAUCCUUGAGGGGGUUGUGGUCCUUCAUGAAACGCUCCAUGAAAUCCACACGAAAAAGCUGGAUGGGGUUGUUUUCAAAGUGGAUUUCGAAAAAGCGUAUGACAAAGUCAAAUGUCCAUUCCUUCAACGGGCCUUACGCAUGAAGGGUUUUAAUGAGGCUUGGCGACGCCAGGUAGAAUCCUUUACGCAAAAAGGUAGUGUUGGAAUUAAAGUAAAUGAUGAUAUAGGGCAUUAUUUCCAGACACACAAAGGCCUGAGGCAAGGAUAUCCAAUGUCCCCUAUUUUGUUCAACAUUGUGGUUGAUAUGUUGGCAAUUCUCAUAGGCAGGGCAAAGGACGCUGGUCAGGUAGGUGGCUUGGUGCCUAACCUAGUUGAUGGGGGUGUGUCCAUUUUGUAGUACGCUGAUGAUACAAUCAUCUUUAUGGAGCAUGACUUGGCAAAAGCGAGAAACAUGAAGCUGGUGUUGUGUUUAUUUGAACAAUUGUCCGGUUUAAAGAUUAACUUUCAUAAAAGCGAGUUGUUCUGCUUUGGUAGAGCCAAGGAGGAACAAGAGGCUUAUAGGCAAUUGUUUGGAUGUGAAUUAGCGGCUUUACCUUUUACUUACCUAGGUAUACCCAUUCAUCAUCGUAAGCUCACGAACAGAGAGUGGAAAUGUAUCGAAGAUCGGUUCGAAAAGAAACUUAGUUGCUGGAAGGGCAAACUUAUGUCUUAUGGAGGCCGGUUAAUUCUUAUCAAUUCGGUGCUCACAAGUAUGCCGAUGUUCCUCCUAUCUUUCUUUGAGGUUUCAGUUGGGGUUAGGAAAAGGCUGGACUUCUAUCGAUCAAGAUUUUUUUGGCAGAGUGAUGAUCUUAAGAGAAAGUAUAGACUCGCCAAGUGGGAUGUUAUUUGUCAUCCUAAGGCUCAAGGGGGGUUGGGUAUCGAGAAUCUUGAGGUCAAGAAGAGAUGCCUGCUUAGUAAGUGGCUAUAUAAGCUAUCAGUUGAGACUGAUGCGACUUGGGCACAGAUUCUACGUAACAAGUAUCUGCAAUCCAAAACUUUGUCACAGGUGACAGUGAGACCAACUGAUUCGCCAUUUUGGAAGGGGCUUAUGAGAGUUAAGGCAGCCUUCUUUAAUAGAACAAAGUUUAUUGUCGGAGAUGGCAACGAUACUCGCUUCUGGGAGGACACUUGGCUUGGUGAUACACCUUUCGCAUUACAGUACCCAACUCUGUAUCGUAUUGUCCAUUGCCGUGAUGCGCUAGUGGCAAUGAUUAUGCAGGCCAUUCCCCUUAAUAUCCAGUUUAGGAGGGUGCUUGUUGGUGAUAGAUGGGAAGCUUGGCUUCAUCUGGUGCGUAGACUGAUGGAGGUCCAGCUACAUCAUCAGCCCGAUCAGUUGUGUUGGAAACUUACUAGGUCUGGACAAUUUACCGUUAAGUCGAUGUACAUCGAUGUUAUUAACUCGAGUGUCAUUCCUAGCUCCAAACAUGUUUGGAAAGUCAAAGUUCCUUUGAAAAUUAAAGUGUUUAUGUGGUUUGUCCAUAAACAGGUCAUUCUAACAAAGGACAACUUGGUUAAGCGCAAUUGGACAGGAUCUACUAGGUGUAGUUUCUGUGAUCGGGAUGAGACCAUUAAGCAUCUCUUCUUUGAGUGCCCGUUGGCGAGAAUUUUGUGGCGCUCCGUGCAAAUUGCCUUUAACAUUACUCCUCCGAGUUCGGUCGGGUCGUUAUUUGGAACGUGGAUGGAUGGGAUAGAGUCCGUUAUAGCUAGACACAUUCGUGUAGGAGUUUGUGCGUUGUUAUGGGCAAUUUGGAACUGCAGAAAUGAUUUGGCUUUUAACAGAAUAACUACUAUUCAUUUUUUUGCAGGUUGUAUUCCGUGCUACGGCGCUGAUCCGUAUGUGGUCCUUACUCACUCCGACGGAGGCCAGGGAGCGUUUGGUUACUGGAUCUGUCCGGUGGGAGAUGGUAGCGCGGGAUAUCUUCAACCGGUUUCGAUGGCGGUCAUGUAAUAGGAUAGGCAAUUAGUUUUCCUAUCUUUAUUAUGCCAGCCGGUUGUGGCUUUAUGGCCUUUUUCUGUUUUAGCGUCGAGGUCUAUGUGAGCUCGACUUUAUUUUGUUUUACGACUCUACGACAUUGUUGAACCAAUUUUAUUUAUCUAAGUGGUCGUAUGCAUCGUUCUGAUGCAGAGGCCGGGGAGUCCCCCCUUUUCGAUUUUUUUUAUUGUUUAUGACAAUUAUGCCGACCAACGUGACAUAUAUUUUAUUUAUGUAGGAGGUGGUUGAACCUGAAAUUCCAACCGACCCUAUUGUCGAGAGGUUAAAUUUAGUUGAAGAAGAAAACAAUUACUUGAAGGAAAAAAUUAAAAAAAUUGAGGAGGAGAAGAUGAUAUUGGAGUUGCAUGUUGCGGAUGUCGUCGAUGAUCACAAGAUCAAGAUGGAUGCAAUGCGGUUGAAGAUUAGAAAGAUUAGAAAAUAUGCCAUUCAUACCGAGGCUUGGUAUCAUUAUGCCGUUGGAUCAAUUGUUACCUUAGUUGUGAUUAUGAUCGCAUUUGUUGUUGCAUUGAAAGGUUUUACAUAGUUUCAAUGUAUGGUUUACCUAGAUGCUUUGGAGAGAUAUAUGUUGUUAAAUUUGAACUAUGUAUGUACUUUGGUUUUAAUGUGAUGAUGAACUAGUAUUAAUCUGGUCACUUAUCUAUCCAUGUUCAUUUGUAGUGCUUUUCAAUUUCAGGGUCUUAUAGCUGAAAAAAAUCAGUAAAUGCAUGAAAAAUAUCAAAUGAAGUCAGACAGGAUUGAAAAUUGAUGAUGUGGCUUUGAAUGGUGCAUUUUGAACACAGAAAAACUAUGGAGUUCAAAUAAGUUCAAAAAAUGAAAUCCCUUUGUAACAGACGAGUUUCCGUAUGAAACCCUGAUACUUCGAAAGAGAUUGUCCGUUUUGUACACGAAGUGCAUCCAGUUUUUGCCGUAAGCCUCUCUACUUUCUUGCACAUGCUAUGUGGNNNNNNNNNNNNNNNNNNNNNNNNNNNNNNNNNNNNNNNNNNNNNNNNNNNNNNNNNNNNNNNNNNNNNNNNNNNNNNNNNNNNNNNNNNNNNNNNNNNNNNNNNNNNNNNNNNNNNNNNNNNNNNNNNNNNNNNNNNNNNNNNNNNNNNNNNNNNNNNNNNNNNNNNNNNNNNNNNNNNNNNNNNNNNNNNNNNNNNNNNNNNNNNNNNNNNNNNNNNNNNNNNNNNNNNNNNNNNNNNNNNNNNNNNNNNNNNNNNNNNNNNNNNNNNNNNNNNNNNNNNNNNNNNNNNNNNNNNNNNNNNNNNNNNNNNNNNNNNNNNNNNNNNNNNNNNNNNNNNNNNNNNNNNNNNNNNNNNNNNNNNNNNNNNNNNNNNNNNNNNNNNNNNNNNNNNNNNNNNNNNNNNNNNNNNNNNNNNNNNNNNNNNNNNNNNNNNNNNNNNNNNNNNNNNNNNNNNNNNNNNNNNNNNNNNNNNNNNNNNNNNNNNNNNNNNNNNNNNNNNNNNNNNNNNNNNNNNNNNNNNNNNNNNNNNNNNNNNNNNNNNNNNNNNNNNNNNNNNNNNNNNNNNNNNNNNNNNNNNNNNNNNNNNNNNNNNNNNNNNNNNNNNNNNNNNNNNNNNNNNNNNNNNNNNNNNNNNNNNNNNNNNNNNNNNNNNNNNNNNNNNNNNNNNNNNNNNNNNNNNNNNNNNNNNNNNNNNNNNNNNNNNNNNNNNNNNNNNNNNNNNNNNNNNNNNNNNNNNNNNNNNNNNNNNNNNNNNNNNNNNNNNNNNNNNNNNNNNNNNNNNNNNNNNNNNNNNNNNNNNNNNNNNNNNNNNNNNNNNNNNNNNNNNNNNNNNNNNNNNNNNNNNNNNNNNNNNNNNNNNNNNNNNNNNNNNNNNNNNNNNNNNNNNNNNNNNNNNNNNNNNNNNNNNNNNNNNNNNNNNNNNNNNNNNNNNNNNNNNNNNNNNNNNNNNNNNNNNNNNNNNNNNNNNNNNNNNNNNNNNNNNNNNNNNNNNNNNNNNNNNNNNNNNNNNNNNNNNNNNNNNNNNNNNNNNNNNNNNNNNUAUAUAAAAUUCAUGCAACUAAAAUUAUCAAAGUAUUUUCUGUUCAAAAUCAUUAAAAGCAAAUAGAAUUUUCAUAAAGAACUUUUUUUGUUAGAAACUUCAAUAGCAAAAAGAAUUAUCAUAAAAUAAAAUAAAUAAGUAAUUAGAAACAAAAUAAAAUAAAAUAAAAUAAAUAAGUAUUUUGUUGUAAGUAGAAACGAAACAAAAAAAGCAAAAAAGAAAACAAAAAAACUGAGAAAAAAUAAAAAAUUGCCACCUACUGGGCCACCACGGCCUGAAUACGACUAGAAACCCAUCAAUGGGCCAGGAUUCAGGCUCGCAGAAGGCCCAGUAGGCCCAUCUGGCAUAGCAGUGACAAUUAGGCCCGUAAGCCUGCAAUAGAGAGGAGCUCGAGAGGGGUGCGGCAGUGGGGCUUAUAAACCACUGCGCGCCCCUCUCAACUAGCGAGGUGGGACUAAACUCCCACCACCACGCCGCUGUGCGCGGCCUUUGGUCCCGGUUGGUGGCACCAACCGGGACUAAAGGUGGGCAUUGGUACCGGUUCGUGCCACCAACCGGAACCAAUUCCCCCCCUUUAGUACCGGUUGGAGCCACCAACCGGUACCAAAGGCCGCCGCUUCCCGCCCUUUGGGCUGCUGAAAAGAGACCUUUCGUCCCGGUUGGUGGCACCAACCGGGACUAAAGAGGGGCAUUGGUCCCGGUUGCUGCCAUGAACCGGUACCAAUGCUCUCCGUAUAUAAGCAAGACUUGUAAAUUUUUCAGUUUCAUCGACCAUUUGCCCCCCGACGACGCCGAACUCAUCGACGCCGCCAGGCUGCCCGUGCUCGCCGUCGCCGCCCCGCACCCUUGCUGCCCGUGCUCGCCGACGCCGCUAGGCUGCCCGUGCUCGCCGUCGCCGCCCGCUCCUCGUCGCCGUCGNNNNNNNNNNNNNNNNNNNNNNNNNNNNNNNNNNNNNNNNNNNNNNNNNNNNNNNNNNNNNNNNNNNNNNNNNNNNNNNNNNNNNNNNNNNNNNNNNNNNNNNNNNNNNNNNNNNNNNNNNNNNNNNNNNNNNNNNNNNNNNNNNNNNNNNNNNNNNNNNNNNNNNNNNNNNNNNNNNNNNNNNNNNNNNNNNNNNNNNNNNNNNNNNNNNNNNNNNNNNNNNNNNNNNNNNNNNNNNNNNNNNNNNNNNNNNNNNNNNNNNNNNNNNNNNNNNNNNNNNNNNNNNNNNNNNNNNNNNNNNNNNNNNNNNNNNNNNNNNNNNNNNNNNNNNNNNNNNNNNNNNNNNNNNNNNNNNNNNNNNNNNNNNNNNNNNNNNNNNNNNNNNNNNNNNNNNNNNNNNNNNNNNNNNNNNNNNNNNNNNNNNNNNNNNNNNNNNNNNNNNNNNNNNNNNNNNNNNNNNNNNNNNNNNNNNNNNNNNNNNNNNNNNNNNNNNNNNNNNNNNNCCGACGCCGCCACACGCCCUCGGCCUGCCCCGACCACACGCCGCUGCCACGUUCGGUCCGGCCGCCGGCCUUCCUCUCUGUUUUUUUUCAUAUAUAUGAUAUUUUUUUAAGAUUAUGUGCAUAUGUGUGAUUAUAUGUAUGUGUGUAUAUAUGAUUAUAUGUCCUGUUUUUUUUCAGUUUUUUGUUCAUAUAUAUAUGAUGAUUUGUUUUUUGCAUUUUUAUAAAAAUGUAUAUAUGUAUGUAUGUUCUCUGUGUAUACAUGUUCAUAUAUGCAAAAGUUAGAUUUUAGAAAAGUUUUAUCUAUAUAUGUUCUCUGAUUUAGUACAUUUUAGGUUAGUUUCAUUUUUAGAAAAGUUUUAUAUAUUUAGGAAGAAGGAAGAGAAGGAAGAAGGAAGAAGAAGAAAAAGUUUUAUAUAUGCAAAAGUUACAUUUUUAGAAAAGUUUUAUAUAUCUUAGCUUUGAAAGGAGGAAGAAGAAAAAGAAUGAGAGGAAAAAGGAAAAUAAGAAGAGGAAGAAAGGAGAAGAAGAGGAGAAAUAAAUAAGAAGAGGAAAAAAAGAAGAAAAAGAAGAGGACUUUUUUCUUCGAUCUUCUCCUCUAUUCCUUUCUUCUUCUCCUUUUUUUAUUUCUUCUUCGUCUUCUUAUUUUUUAUCGGGUAUGUCGUUGUCGAUAUACCCCCUCCCGAUAACUUCAACAUGAGGGGGGGUCGAUAUACCCCCUCCCUGAUAACAUUAUUUUCCCAUUUAUGUAUGUCGUCGUUGUUGAUAUAAACCCCUCCCGGAUAACUUCGACAUGAGGGGCGGUCGAUAUAUAUACCCCCUCUCGACCGUGAUAACUUAUACCACGGGAGCACCCCCCCUCCCCGGCCCUCUCGCUCGACCAAAACUCUCGAGGACACCCAAACCCUAGAAAAAACGAUGUCGGUCUCCUACCCCCUCCAGCCGCGCCCCUACCCGAUCGACAAACUCUCUUGAGGCCACCCAAAUUUACCAAGUUAAAAGAGUGUUGUCGUCGAGGCCACCCCAAACCCCUUGAAGCGUUGUUGAGGCCACCCCAAACCCUUGAAGCGUUGCCGUGUUGUAAAUAUUUGAAUAAUAAUUGCCAUGUUGUAAUUAUUUGCAGAAACUAUGGAUCCGCACCCCCGAGACGAAGCAAAAGAAGCGGUGUUGGGGGAGAUAAUCGCACAUGGAAGUGAUGCCGUCUUGUCGUUUCUCAACGACACAUGCACCGAUGGUCUGGAAAGACAGGAUGAAGAAGCAGGCUACGACGAUGAUCAAACAAUGGAGGAGGAAGGACACCGUGAUGACGGCUCCGGUGACCGAAUGGAGGGGGAAGGACACCGUGAUGACGGCUCCGGUGACCGAAUGGAGGGGGAAGGACACCAUGAUGACGGCUCCGGUGACCGAACGAAGUCCGGCCAGGUAUAUAUAUAUAUUAGUUAAUUAAGAUGUGCUGACUAUAUAGCUAAUUGAUGCAUUAAUUGUUUUUGGUAUGUACACAUAUUAACUCUCUUCUUUUUCUUCUUUUCUAGCCCUCCGGAUCGAGCAACACUUCGGUAACGAGACGAGGCCCAAAGAGAAAGUUGCGCACGGAUGAAAGGUACACGAUCAUCGAAAUUGAUUGCGCUGGCCAACCGAUUGAACCCCUCCGGACCAAGAAAAAAUUUAAUGCUCAGUGCAGGGUUCUAGUUAGGGACAUGAUCCCGAUCAGCAUCAAGCAAUGGUUGAAGCCUAAGGACAUAGACUCUCAGGUGUCUUAUGUCAGUGAUAGGCAGAAAGCUGAUCUUUGGACCGCGCUGCAGGAAAAUUUCACCUUCCCGCCAGAGGAAGAUCCGGAGAAUCCAGUUAAAAAGCCAAUGAUCAAGGCUUAUGCUCUUAGGAAGAUGGCUGAGCUAUUCAGGAGGUGGAAGAAUGAGCUGAAAUCAUCGUUUGUCGACCAAGACAAGACUCCAGAAUUCAUCGGCCGAUUUGAGAAGAUCAAAGAUCAGUGCCCCGCAUUUGUCACCAAAAAGAAAUCCGAGAGAGCAGCGAAGAUGUCAGGGACAAACAAGAAGAAUGAUGCAAAGAAGAAGCAUCACCAUCGCACGGGGUCAGGUGGCUACCUGAAAGCCCAGCCGUUGUGGGACAAGGCUGAGAAUGACCUCAUUGAUAAAGGGAUCGAACCAGAGACGCGACGCUGGCCAGACCAUUGCAGGACUUGGUUCUUUGGGGUUGGGGGAAAAUUGGACCCUGUAACAGGGAAGUGCGUUUGGACCAAUGAGCAGCUGAACACACCCAUCGAGAAGCUUCAGGAGUAUAUCGAAAAAGCGCAGCAAGGGACCUUCGUUCCGGAUAGAGAGAACGACGAGCUCACAGAGGCCCUCGGGAAUCCUGAGCACCCCGGACGGACACGAGGCACUCCAGGCUCCCUUUCGUGGAAGGCUGGAUUUCCCGACGCAGGCGGUUACAAACGCCGGGAGAGGAAGAAGAAAAAGGAGUUGACCCAACUACAGGCGCUGCACGCAAGGGUACAAGCGCUAGAGGAACGAGACGCAGUUCGCUGCACGCGACCUGCCGAAGCUACACCCGAAGCUACCCCGCCAUCUCAGCGGAGAAGCAGCGUGGCUUCCACGGAGCUGCUUCAGGAGCCUGUCUUCACGGCUCCUGCUAGCUACCCCGUAGAUGCUAUCAUGGAGUCUCAGCAUUGCCACCUUAUGACGCAGUGGAUGGAAUUGAAAGUCAAGGCGGCUGUUGGCUCUGUUGCACCUCCUGAACCUAGCGCAACUUUUCACUGCCGACCGAUUUCCAGAAGGAUAUGCUAGGGUGAUGAUGGAUGAAAUCACAGAAGGAUUUGAGGACCUCCAGCUAGACCACCCUACGGGUGACGGGGAGACUCUGCUGGGUUCUUGUCUGAAGACUCCAUGCCUAUGGCGGAAAGAGCUCAUCAACCUUCCGAACUGGACGCCUCCACCUCCUCCUCCUCCUCUGGCGAGUCAGGGAACUCCGCCUCCUCCUCCGGCGAGUGACGAUCAGGGCACUCAGCCUCCUUCUCCGGCGCGUGGCGGCACUCCGCCUCCUUCUCUGCCUGCGCCGGCGCGCCCGAGCAGCCACCAGCCUCCUCCUUCUCCGCCUCGCCAGCAAGGGCGGAAGAGACCCGCCGCCGCCCCGGCUGCUCCGGCGCGUCAUAGUCCUUCUCCUCCGCCUCGUAAGCAAGCACGAAAGAAGACACCGCAGCCGCUUCGUCUGCUCCGGCGUCUAGCAGUACAGCCAGAGGCGGGAGGCAAUACAGAUAGGGUCCACCUCUCAAGCCUCUAGAGAAGUUACCGUACGAGAUGACCGUGGAAGAAAACAAGAAGAUCGUGCAAAAAGAAGUGAAGGACUUCUUUGAAGGGGCGAAAGCAGAGAGACAUCCACCUCCGAAGGAGAAGGUAGAUCCGGUGAAAGCAAAGCGCACUAUCGAUGCCCUGAGGAAACCACCAAAGUCUCCGCCGAAAACCAACUAUGAGCGCGUUACUGAAGAGGCAUAUCUCGAAGCGGAGCGGUCGGGAAGUACUGUCAGUGAUCAAAGGUUAAAAGAACGACGAGCAGCUGGGAAAAAAAUUGUCCAGCUCGGCGAACAAGCGAACCAAUCGUGCCCCCCGCUCAAUGUGUCUAGCGACGUCGUCGCUAAUGCUCCGGGGAUGGUGCCUGGUUAUAGCAAUCUUGGAGAUUACCUGCCCGACGAUGUACAUUAUGAUUUCUUGGAGGUGGACGAACACAGAUACGAGUACGGGAAGCCUCUCGUCAAAGAUGAAAAAUCUCUAACAACGAUGAUGCGAAGAUUCCAUGAUUGGUACAUGAAAACCUGCAGAGAGUCUGGGGGGACGAAUACUUUGUAUCUGAGAGUUAAAGAGGAGCACGACCUCGUUGGAAUUGAUCUGUUGCAUGUUCCAUUUGAGGAGUUCUUCCGGUUCUUCAAUCAAAAGGCCCUCGAUAAAUUAACGGUCACUUGCUACUGUCUGUAAGUACUACUUCUGUCAUUAAGUCUCUAUAUAUAGCUCAGCUCUUUCAUUGCAUGUUUUUAUAAUUAUCCUCACUAUAUUAUGCAGAUUGAAGAUCGUCGAGUGCAGAAAAGCAGAAAUGUAUGAUAUUGGGUUCAUUAACACAAAUCUCAUAGAUGAAUUUCAGGUUAAAAAGGGCGCCAAAGAUGCCGAGGCCAACUUGCUCAAAUCAUUGCUAAUAAAUCAAAACAAAGAUUUAAUACUCUUUCCUUACAACUUCAAGUGAGUGUUACUGUCGUGUGCAUAUUCGGUUUCCCUUAUUACUCGAGCGAGGUUAUAGUAAUGUAUUUGAUGAGUUAUGCAUGCGUGCGCAGCUUCCACUAUAUUCUCCUGGAGAUUAAGCUUGAGCGGGGACUAGUAACCGUCUUAGACUCGAGACGAAAAGAUCCCGGGACCUAUGCGGACAUGACUAAAAUUCUCAACAAGUAAGUUCAAUCGAUCAUUAUCGCACCAUAUCGGCAACGUUUUGUUCAUUUCCUGAUAUCUCAAGUAAUAAUUAUUUUCUUUGUCUUGCAGGGUUUGGAAACAGUUCACCGCAGAAGCUCCGGGACUGCCGAAGGAGCUGCGAUAUACAUACCCGAAAGUAAGUACUACUAGCUAGCUAGUUGCGGGCAUCUCCCGUUGAUUCUAGCUACUUUCAUCAAUGCCAUUUAUAAUGCUUCAUUAUCAGUUUGAUUGACCUCUAUUUCUCGUAAAGUGCUUGUGGCAGGAACAAGGAAAUGAUUACUGUGGAUACUACGUGUGCGAGUUCAUCUACAACGCGACUUGCAAAGAUAAGCGGGGCUACUCUAAAAGACAAUAUGAAGUGCGUAAGCAAUAAUAUUCACAAUUUCAUUUUAUUACACCAUCAUUUCUGUUGAGUUUCAUUCAUAUAUAUGUAUUAACCCCCUUCUUCAAAUUAGACGUGGCAGAUGCGGAAUGAACUCCUACCACAAGAUCGCAUGAAAGCAAUUCAAGAGGAAUUGGCGGGAUUUUUUCUUGACCACGUCAUCAAUAAAGCCGGAGAAUACCAUGUGGAAGUUGAGUUCAAAUGCUAGGGGAUUGUAAGAGAUCUUACAUAUUGUAUAUGUAUGUAGCCAGUAGCGUCGGAUAGAUAAUAUGAAAACUUUUUAUUCGACCAAUCUCUCUGAGAAGGAGAGGUCGAUUACUUCUCUCGGUAUGCAUGACGAACUUCUGUACUUAAUGGUUUCCUUCAUUUUCUUACUAGCUAGCGUGUCGAGGGUCUCUCUAUACGUAUAGUACGUAGUGUCGACCAAGCAUGGAGAUAAGAGAGGACACUUCUCUCUAUUAAUUAAUUAGCUACCUAACACAAUAUAUGAAACACCUUAAUUAACCAUACAAAACCCCCAAAUCCACCCCCCCCUUUCAGAAAAAAAACAAAAACCCUAGCCCCUGAACAGCUGACACGUGGAUGCCUAUUGGUCCCGGUUGGUGCCACCAACCGGGACUAAAGGGCCUCCUGCCUGGGCUCGCAGCACCGGCCACGUGGAGGCCCAUCUGUCCCGGUUAGUAUAAGAACCGGGACUAAAGGCCUAGGCAUUAGUAACGACCCUUUAGUCCCGGUUCCCCAACCGGGACAGAUGGGCCUUAUGAACCGGGACAAAUGGCCCUUUUUCUACUAGUGAUCUCAUACAAUAAAAUUUAGCAUCAUGUCUUUACCAUAUCACAUCACAACAUGCCCUGCAAAAACAAGUUAGACGUCCUCUACUUUGUUGUUGCAAGUUUUACGUAGCUGCUACGGGCUGAGCAAGAACCGUUCUUACCUACGCAUCAAAACCACAACGAUUUUUCGUCAAGUGUGUUGUUUUAUCCUUCAACAAGGACCGGGCGUAGCCACACUCUAUUGAACUAAAGUUGGAGAAACUGACACCCGCCAGCCACCUGUGUACGAAGCACGUCGGUAGAACCAGUCUCGCGUAAGCGUACGCGUAAUGUCGGUCCGGACCGCUUCAUCCAACAAUACCGCCGAAUCAAAGUAUGACAUGCUGGUAAGCAGUAUGCCUAUUAUCGCCCACAACUCGUUUGUGUUCUACUCGUGCAUAUAACAUCUACGCAUAAACCUGGCUCGGAUGCCACUGUUGGGGAACGCAGUAAUUUCAAAAAAAAAUCCUACACACACGCAAGAUCAUGGUGAUGCAUAGCAACGAGAGGGGAGAGUGUAGUCCACGUACCCUCGUAGACCGUAAGCGGAAGCGUUAUGACAACGUGGUUGAUGUAGUCGUACGUCUUCAUGAUCCGACCGAUCCUAGUACCGAAAGUAUGGCACCUCCGCCAUCUGCACACGUUCGGAUCGGUGACGUCCCACGAACUCUUGAUCCAGCUGAGUGUCGAGGGAGAGCUUCAUCAGCACGACGGCGUGAUGACGGUGAUGAUGAAGCUAGCGGCGCAGGGCUUCGCCUAAGCACUGCAACAAUAUGACCGAGGUGGAUUAUGGUGGAGGGGGGCACCGCACACGGCUAAGAGAUCAAUGAUCAACUUGUGUGUCUAUGGGGUGCCCCCUCCCCCGUAUAUAAAGGAGUGGAGGAGGGGAGGGCCNNNNNNNNNNNNNNNNNNNNNNNNNNNNNNNNNNNNNNNNNNNNNNNNNNNNNNNNNNNNNNNNNNNNNNNNNNNNNNNNNNNNNNNNNNNNNNNNNNNNNNNNNNNNNNNNNNNNNNNNNNNNNNNNNNNNNNNNNNNNNNNNNNNNNNNNNNNNNNNNNNNNNNNNNNNNNNNNNNNNNNNNNNNNNNNNNNNNNNNNAGGAUCCCCCCCUUCCCUAGUUGGACUAGCUAGGAGAGAAGGAAGGGGGAGAGAGGGAGGAAGGAAAGGGGGGCGCCGCCCCCCUCCUAGUCCAAUUCGGACCAGAGGGGGAGGGGGCGUGCGGCCUGCCCUGGCUGCCCCUCUCUCUCUCCACUAAAGCCCAUUAGGGCCCAUAUACUCCCCGGGGGGUUCCGGUAACCCCCCCUGUACUCCGGUAUAUGCCCGAACUCUCAAGAAACCUUUCCGAUGUCCAAACAUAGUCAUCCAAUAUAUCGAUCUUUAUGUCUCGACCAUUUUGAGACUCCUCGUCAUGUCCGUGAUCAUAUCCGGGACUCCGAACUACCUUCGGUACAUCAAAGCACAUAAACUCAUAAUACCGAUCAACACCGAACGUUAAGCGUGCGGACCCUACGGGUUCGAGAACUAUGUAGACAUGACCGAGACUCAUCUCCGGUCAAUAACCAAUAGCGGAACCUGGAUGCUUAUAUUGGUUCCUACAUAUUCUACGAAGAUCUUUAUCGGUCAAACCGCAUAACAACAUGCGUUGUUCCCUUUGUCAUCGGUAUGUUACUUGCCCGAGAUUCGAUCGUCGGUAUCUCAAUACCUAGUUCAAUCUCGUUACCGGCAAGUCUCUUUACUCGUUCCGUACUGCAUCAUCCCGCAACUAACACAUUAGUCACAUUGCUUGCAAGGCUUAUAGUGAUGUGCAUUACCGAGAGGGCCCAGAGAUACCUCUCCGACAAUCGGAGUGACAAAUCCUAAUCUCGAUCUAUGCCAACUCAACAAACACCAUUGGAGACACAUGUAGAGCACCUUUAUAAUCAUCCGGGUACGUUGUGACGUUUGGUAGCACACAGAGUGUUUCUCCGGUAUUCGGGAGUUGCAUAAUCUCAUAGUCAUGGGAACAUGUACAAGUCAUGAAGAAAGCAAUAUCAACAUACUAAAGGAUCAAGUGCUAAGCUAACGGAAUGGGUCAAGUCAAUCACAUCAUUCUCUAAUGAUGUGAUCCCGUUAAUCAAAUGACAACUCAUGUCUAUGGCUAUGAAACUUAACCAUCUUUGAUUCAACGAGCUAGUCAAGUAGAGGCAUACUAGUGUCACUCUAUUUGUCUAUGUAUUCAUACAUGUACUAAGUUUCCGGUCAAUACAAUUGUAGCAUGAAUAAUAAACAUUUAUCAUGAUAUAAGGAAAUAUAAAUAACAACUUUAUUAUUGCCUCUAGGGCAUAUUUCCUUCACAUUUGUUCAACAUGAUCAACCCCAUUUUAAGGUUUAGUAUGCAUUUUGUUAUGAAAAAACUAGUAUACACAUGUGUGGUCGAUGAAAAAUAGUAUACGAGCCGACAACUCGACCUGAUAACACCAAAUCUUUUUACUCCGAAAACAGAUGCAGCGAAUUAUCUUACUUCCAAAGAUGUUGUGCCUAGAAUCCAGAAUCCACACACCCAGAGAAUUACAGAUUUGAAACACUGAAGUCAGAGGCUUAGAGCAACUCCAACGCGCCGACCAAACGGACGACGCGUUUUUCCGCUUUUUGUCCUUUUGGGCCGGCCGCCCACUCGGCGUCCGCCCUGUUUGAGAUUUGGGUCGGCGGUGCGCCCAACGACCGCAACCCAUUUCAUGUUCGCACGCAAAUUUUGAAAAAGGCCCGCGGCCAUAGAUCAAGCCAGCGGCCACGUCGUCGCCCGGAGUUCACGCCGGCACCAUGCCAGCGCCGGCAUACAAUGCCAGCUUCUGAAAAACACCACAUAGUUCAGCUGGCACACUUGCCAGUGGCCGACACACAUGCCAGCACACAAAAAGGGGCAGGAGUUCGACCACGCCAUCGCGGCCAUGGUAAUGCCAGCACACUUGCCGACAUACCAAAAAGGAUGGCGGUCGCCGCCAUAGGUCACUCGUCGUGGAACUUGAGCAUGUCGGCCUGGAUCUUCUCAAACCACAGCCUCUUCCUUGGUGACAUGGUGCUGAGAUCCACCUUCAUGAUCUCCACCCCCGUCAUCAUGCUAGCGAGAGCCACUUCUUUCGCCUUGGUCUUUGCAUUGGCGGCCUCGAUCUCAAGCAUCUUGGCUUGCUCCUCCGCCUCCAUCUCAAGCAUCUUGGCUUGCUUGUCCGCUUCCAUCUCAAGCCUCCUCCUUUGGAUCUCCAUUAAGGCGUUCAUUUGCUCUUCCUUGUCUCAACGGCGCUUCUCCUCGCUUGAGUCCUUUUUGGUCAUCAUGUCCUCCACGCUUGCGACAAAGGCGAUCGACGUGACAUCCCGCUUGUCCUCCUUCUUGGAGGUUGUCUUCCCCCACGGUCGUGGCUUCUCGCCAUCCCCAACCUCCUCCACGGCCUUCUUACCCCCACGCAACAUGAGGGCGGUAUAUUGCGCCUUGACCUUCUCCUCGUCUUUGAUGACCCUCCAACAAUGUGAGAGGUUGAAGGACUUCCCAUCGUGUUGGACCUUGAAUGCCUCCAAAGCUUGGAAUGCCUACAAAUGAAUUGCAUGCAAGCAUAUUGGCAAAUGGAAAUGGACAUGGAAGCAUAAACGGAAUGACACAAAGAGGGGCGCUUGCUAGCAUACCAUGUCUUGCAUGCCGAUGCCGCUCACGGGGCGUGCCAUGAUGCUCUCAAGAGUGGCACAAAACUUGUUGCACUCUUGUUGGAUCACCUUCCAACGCUUCAAAAUGGACACCCACCCGCGCGUGCUUUGCAUUUGGUACGGCGGAAACUUCUUGCGCUCAUGGAACUCACAAUGGACACGGGUCCAAAAGGUGGAUGCCUUUUGUUCGGCGCCGGUCUUGGGGUCUUGCCCAAUGUCCCUCCAACACUCACAAAGGAGCUUGUCCUCGGCCGCCGUGUAUGCCUUGGUCCGCCUGCUCUUGCGCUUCGGCUUCGCCCCGGCGGCUUGGUUGGCGAGCUCGUCCUCGGACAAAGGCUCCCCUUCGUUGUCCAACUCAUCCUCUUCCUCGAGUACGUAGUCCUCCGGAAACUCGUGGUCGAGCGGGAAGCCGUCCAGGUCCAGGCCGACCUGAUCAUGCAUGAAGGCGACCUGGUCUUGAUCAAAGGUGGACGGCCUGAACGGCCCUCGGCCGUCCUGGCUUUGUGUCUCGUCGAGAUCGUAGGCAGCCCCGGCGGCACCGCCAGCGGCCGCCGCACCACCCUCGAAGAUGAUGUUCUGCAUGUAGUCGUCGUCGCCGGAAGCCGGCAUUCCGCCGAACAGGUUGCGGGCGCCCGACAGCACGUCGGUUGGCAUGUGCCGCGCGCGUUUCCUAGCCCCUCCGGAUGAUGAGCCACCGGGCACCGGUGUGGCGUUGAGGUCGAUGGGCGCGGGCAUGGAGGCGCCACCACCCUCACCUCGGGGGAGCGUUCACCGGAGAGUCGGGAGGCUUGUGGGUAGACGUGGAAGCCGGGAAUCGGCUGCGUCGCCGACGCGCGGGGCGAGUCGGGCAGCACCAUCCGAGGAAACGCAGAUGAGCCGGUGUUGGCCGCGGCCACGGCAUCGUUGACAAGGCCGUGCUGCCCAGGGUUUAACCCUAGGUACAUCAGCGUCUCCCUCGUUGCCGCCGCGACGCGGGCGUUGGUGGCCUCCUACUGCGCGGCGUCCAUCGCGAUGGCUUCCUCCAUUGCAUCUGCUGCGUGCCUCCGGCCCUUUCUCUUCGCCGACUCCCUUAACCGCUCCUCGGGCGUCAGCUUCUUCUUCGGCUUGGGCGUGGCGGCGGUCUUGCGGGGGGCGCGAGGCUUGCCUUUGCCGGAGGGGCGGUCGUGAUGCCCGACGAGGCGAGGGAGGCAAGGCUGGCGGCGGCAUCAAGGUCGUCGUCCAUGGCGAGCGGCGGGAGCGCGCAGGCGGGAGGGUUUUGGCAAAAUUGACGAAAAUGGUGGAGGCUGCCACCGACUGGCAGGCCAGGGGGAGGAAUAGGCGGGCGCCGCACGCGUCCGCCUCGUGUCCGUGCCGACGCAAACGAGGCUAAAAAAUGGGCCCGGAAUGGGUCGGAGGUGGUCGAAAAGCGGAUGCGCGUCCGUUUGGGUCGGCGUGUUGGGCCGACUUUUCUGUCCGCGCCGAUCCAAACGGACGCGCGUGGACGAAAUGGGUCGCCGCGUUGGAGUUGCUCUUACUGUCUCAUCAUACAUGCAGCAAAACAGAGGCAGCGAAUCCACACACCCAGAGGCCAGAGGAUUACAGAUUUGAAACACUGAAAAUUUAGCUCGCUGGAACUCUUAAGACAGUUACUGGACAUGAUGCACCACCACAUGCCUCCUCUUGGGAACUUGCUGGCGAAAAAAGGGCACUUGCGUGCGGGCCACGGGUCGCUUUUGGUUGCUAUCGACGCAUGUCGACGGCCACCGGCCACCGGGAUCAACUGGCGAGAUCCCGGUCCUCCAGUGAAGCAACAGCAGUAUGUACAACAACCAACGUGGGUGGAACUGGAAGCACCCCAGCCCGGUAAAACCGUCAGGGCAAUCACGGAAACCGAUGCACCACAUGUGCCAUGCAACGAUGGGAGAGGAGAGAGCACACAUGGGUGUGGGCCCGUCGCUGCCGACCACAGCACACGGCGCACGGCGAUCGAUCGACGGCCGGCCACCGAGCAGGAUCAGACCGGGGAGAUUCACUGCGUACGUGCUCCAGUUACGCAGCGGCAGCAGCGCAAGAGAUCCAAACAAAAUCUAAUCGGCCAGCAAUAAUGCAGCUACAGUAGAGAGGGGAAGCUCAGCCAUGGAAUGGGAUCGACGGAGCCCGUGAGCCCGCUCGUCACCAUGCUGGAGCUGUAGUGGCCGCCACGUGAGACUGACUGGGCUUUCACUUGCCCUCGUUGGACGGCUAGGGGAGGAAGCUCAGCUCAGCCAUGGAAUCGACGGAGCGCGUCAUCUCACCCGUCACGUUGCUGGCUGCCACAUCACGACUGACUGGGCUUUCACUCCCCUUCGCCCUCCUCCUCCGGGUGGACACGUGUGCGGUCCACGGGGUCGCAUGGUGGCGGAUGCUGACUCGGCUCCGCCUCGGCCGUGUGUAUCAUGCGUAUGUUCUUUCUUUGACAGUGAGACGGCAGGAGAGGUCCAAAACAUGCUUCCCUUUUUUUGGGAUUUUUAUUAAACCUCCGAUAACUAUGCGUAGGCACGUCAACUUUUCUUAGAUCUUUGGAGUCCGGUAUACAUUUUUCGAGUUUUCGGAAAUGGUUGCGGAUGCUGACUCGGAUCUGCCUCAGCCGUGCAUAUCAUGCAUGCGUAUGUUUUUUCUUUUUCUUUGACAGUGAAACGGCAGGAGAGGUCCCAAUUCCCAAACAUGGUUCCCUUUUUCUAGGAUUUUUCAAACUUCCAAAUAUGCAUAUGCACGUCAACAUCCAAAUAUUUGAAACCUCCAAAUAUGUCAUGGUACUCGGUCCUUCCCAUUUUGUGGCGCAUUAGCCUCGGCGCCGAAACCAAAGAGGUAUGAAUAUGCCGCUUCUUGGAAAUAAUUAUAUUUGAGACUUCCAAAUAUGUACUCGCUCCGUCCGGAAAUACUUGUCGCAUAAAUGGAUAAAAAUGGAUGUAUCUAGAACUAAAAUACGUCUAGAUACAUCCAUUUCGAUGACAAGUAUUUCCGGACGGAGGGAGUAGCAUAUAGUAAUAUAUACCCAUGGUUUUCCUUUUUUGGAGUUUUGGAACUUCCAGGGAUGCUUUUUCGAGAUUUCAGAAAUGCCGAAAUCGGAAUCGCACCUUAUACUAUAGACCAGAAAGUGUACACGCCAGAUAAAGCCCAAACAAACAGCAUCUCCGCUCCGGAAUAUUAGGAUCGCACGAGGCGAUCUAGGAGGCGACGAGGGUUCCCUUGCGCGCCACCGGUGGCGCCGCCGGUUCCCUCUCUCUCCGCCGGCCGCUCCGGCGGCGGGAGGGAGGGGGAACCUCGGGUCUGUUCGCUUGGUGGGUGUGUGGCAGGGUUAGGGUUGAGGGAGACGCUGCCGAGGCCGUUGCGGUGGCGUCGCGUCGGAAUAAGUUUCUCCGGGCUCCGUUCGCGGUCAGGCGAGGCUUUUGCCUUUGUUUAGGAGCCAGCGGAGUGGGGGAUCCCCGGAUCUCGUCGAGGUCGCGGGCUAUGGUUUAUGGAGGUCCAUUGGCACUGGCUGUUUGGGUCCUCAGAUGGGCGAUGGAUGCAGGGAGACGAAGACCCUUCUUCUUCCUUGUCGGUAUGAUUUGUUGCUGCUGUUCUUCUCCUUCCUCUGCGCCGAUGCUGGUGGGAGAUCUUGCUUUGUCCGGGCGGAUGGCCCGACCGCGGUGCUGGACCGAUCGGAUGACUCGAGUUCUCUUUCUUCCGGAAGGGACACUUUUCGCGGUACUCAAAGCCAAAGAUGGCGACGGCUGUUGCAGGUGUGUUGGAUUGAUGUCCAUGCCCUCUCAGUGCUGGUGUCAAGAAAAGGGGAAGCAGCGUGGCGGCAAUUGUACCGUGGUCGAAGACGAUGACCUGCUUGCGCCUGGUUGCAGAUCCUUCUACUGCAGGGGUCUUCUCUCAAGAUCCAGGGAUGAUGACACAGGGCUCCGGAGAUCUUCUUGUGUUAUGGAUGUCUUAGGGUACUCUAGGUGUUCAUGGUCCUUUGUGUUUGCGUUUCAGUGUGCUUGUAAGGAUCAACUAUUUUGUACUGUUUUGUAAUUUGAAUGAAAAAUUCUCAAAAAAAAAAGUGUACACGCCCAACAAACCGGGAAGGGUGCGCUGUCAUGGAACGCCCGUUUGCGGACCAAUGAGGCAACUAAACCCUAAAUACAUUGUUUAAGAAUGUAAGCAUGUACUACACAUAUAUAGACCCACGAUAGCACCACAAAGUAUAUUCGAUGCAUGGUCGGCCACCCGCCACAGAUCCCGGCGACGAUCACCACCACGGUGACCUCUUCAUGUUUGUUGCAUGUAUUGUAUAUAAACACUAGCUAGAGAACAAAUGAUGUUUGCCAGUGGUGAUUUCACAACGAAAAACGACGCUUGCCCCAUGCACCAUGGGUCCAUGUAUGUGAUCGGCCAGGCCCCACUUGCAAGCCUCAGUUCUCUUAAUAACUGGACGAACGGACGGACGAACGCCUCCCCACAUGCUCGUUGCAUCUUGUUUAAUUAAAGGCAACAAAGUUGAUUUGCUUCUCUGCUGCAUUGGUAGAGAACAAGACACUGCAUCUGCAUCUGCAUUAUUGUGCUGGAGGCUCCGGAGGACGAUGGCUACAUGAACGACACUGUGGGGUUGGUGAGGAGGAGCCCAUGGAUGAAAGCGACAGCAACGGCGGAGAGGCUAAUUCUAGUCUGUAGACUGACCUUGAUAUUAUGGCGUGAAGUGACCACAUUCUUCUUACAAACAAAGCAUAAUUUUACUUUUAAAGACGAUGCCUUCGACCAGACGUGAAGCUCAUUCUAGGAUCCGCUGCUCACAAAAAUUCAUUUGGCAAGUUUUUGUUUUUGUUUUUUGAGGUAGCAAGUAUUUUGAAUUUGAUUCACGAUUUUGACUGGGUCAAUGAUUUCUCAAAUCAAUCGGCACCAAUGAGCCUGUAAAACACAGCAAUCCCAUACACCCCUUUCAUCACCUAAAAAAGGAUACGCUAACAGAUGCACUGUAGCAUCAAUAUAGUACACGUGGUCAUCAAAGCAAGAAAUUGUCCAUGUAAAUAUGGGUUGAUUAGCAUAAAACACAGAACCAUACCGUCAAAAAGGCCACUAAAACACUGCAUUAUAAAAGAAAACACUUCACCAUGUUCCUCCCACACAAAUCAAUUUUUAUCUUUAUGAAAUCCCAACAACACAAACGGCGCAACGGAGACCAACCCUUCUAGUUUGAUUACUCCAGUAUGUAUAAAGGCGUCUCCAAAUAGUCGAGGGAUAGUUGUUGGCACAUUGUGUCACAUAGAAUAUAUUAUGACCCAGCAUAGAAUAAAUUCAGAUGUUUCCACACUUCUUUUUGAGAGAAGUGCUCCCACACACUAGGCAUUCCCAUGCUCCCAUUUCUAUCUUUUGAAAAGUUCCAUCCUUUUGUGAUUGUUCCCUAGACAUGGUUCUAGCUAGAAUCUUAGUUUUGUCUUUGACAGGGAAACAUAUUCUGAGAGGUUCCUCCCCCCUUUUUAACGAAAUAAAAUUCUUCCUUUUCUAUAAUUCUGAAACUUCAAAGUAUGCAUAUGCAUGACAACUUUUUCCGGUUCGUUGAAAUCUAAAAGAUAUUUGUGAGAUAUUUUUAAAAUGUCAAGUUCUAUGGAGACCCAGAGCCAAAUCAAUUGCUCUCAGGCACAAGGGCCCUUGACAGAGGCACUUGAUGAAAACGGUGAGUUGUCUAUGCUUGUCCGAACGCAACACCCUAUGGAGAGGACGAUCGAGAGUAGGACAAAUGAACAACCGCUGACUUACCUUAAGGGCGUCUGAUGUGGGACUACAUCCCUCCCAAUUUCUAUUACGACACAUUAGUCUCGACACCGAGGCCAUGGAGGGUGUACAUAUGAUAGUUUUUUUUUUUUGAAACUUCUAGAUAUAGUCAAGUUGGUUUUUGGAUUUUUGGAACUUCCAAAGGCGUUUUUCAAGUUUUCAAAAAUACCAAGUUCCAUGGUGACCGGAAUGGCACAAUGUAUACGCCCAACCAGGAAGGGGGGAUUAUCAUGGUAGGCCCACAUUCAACCACCAAUUAGGUAAAUAAACCCUAUAUCAUCAUUUGUUUAAGAUGUAGGCGUGUACAGACAGAGAUCCAUGACAUGGUGGCACCACAAGUGGGAAGGGCGUAUAUUCCAUGGACGGGGAUCGCCGGUCGGCCAGUGGCCGCAAUCUCGGCGACGAUCACAACGGUGUCCUUUCUUUCGAUGCAAAUAAAAAACACGAGGUAGAGAACAAAUGAUGGUUGCCACCCUGCAUGCAUCAUGCAUGUGAAUAUGUGAUCGACCCGACCUGGCCCCAGUACAGUACGUAGUAGCCUCUGUUCUCUUAAAUGGACGGACGGGCGUACGCCUCCUUCUUGGUCUUGGACACCAGCACAUGCUUAUUGCAUUUUAUUAAGCCAAGUAGUGGGAUAUUUUUAGCUACUGUACUAGUGCAUUGGUAGAACUAGAAGGCUCUGCAUCUGCAUUUCUGCACACAUAUAAUUGAGUUGCAGGCCUGGAUGAUUGCUACGUGCCUCCAUGAACGACAGUGGUCUGUGGGGUUGGUGAUCACUAGUAGAAAAAGGGUCUAAUGUAAAACUCAUUAGUCCAGGUUUGGUAUUGAACCGGCAUUAAUGUGACCAUUAAUGCCGGUUCCAACGGCCAGGCGGGCGGCGCUCAUUAGUACCGGUUCGUGACGAAUCUUUAGUACCGGUUCGUGCCACGAACCGGUACUAAAGAGGUGGUGGCCUUUAGUACGGGUUGGUGGCUCCAACCGGUACUAAAGGUGGGGUCUUUAGUACCGGUUGGAGCCACCAACCGGUACUAAAGACCACCUUNNNNNNNNNNNNNNNNNNNNNNNNNNNNNNNNNNNNNNNNNNNNNNNNNNNNNNNNNNNNNNNNNNNNNNNNNNNNNNNNNNNNNNNNNNNNNNNNNNNNNNNNNNNNNNNNNNNNNNNNNNNNNNNNNNNNNNNNNNNNNNNNNNNNNNNNNNNNNNNNNNNNNNNNNNNNNNNNNNNNNNNNNNNNNNNNNNNNNNNNNNNNNNNNNNNNNNNNNNNNNNNNNNNNNNNNNNNNNNNNNNNNNNNNNNNNNNNNNNNNNNNNNNNNNNNNNNNNNNNNNNNNNNNNNNNNNNNNNNNNNNNNNNNNNNNNNNNNNNNNNNNNNNNNNNNNNNNNNNNNNNNNNNNNNNNNNNNNNNNNNNNNNNNNNNNNNNNNNNAAAGGUGGUGCGCUGCCACCCGCAGUGCACAAUGUUUAGUCCACCUCACUAGUAGAGAGGAGCUCGCACCGUGUCGAGCUCCUCUCUAAGCAGGCCUUUGUGGGCCUAUUGCAAGUCUUCUGCCCUAUGGGGCCUACUGGACCGUACGGGCCUGCAUCCUGACCCAACUAGAGAUUGGGUUUCUAGUCGUACGCAGGCCGUGCCGGCCCAGUAGACUGGCUGUUUUUGCUUUAUUUCAAAAAUAAAAAUAAAAAAAUCCUUACUAACCGGGACUAAAGGUCCCCCGGACCACGGCGCGCCUCGUGCCACGUGAUGGGCCUUUGGUCCCGGUUCGUGUUAAACCGGUACUAAAGGAGGGGACUUUUAGUCCCCAUUACAAACCGGUGAUAAAACUCUGUUUUCUACUAGUGGAUGGAUCGAUGCAGGAGGGAGGAUCCUGCAGCUGAACGCGUGGGUGAUGGCCACAGCAACGACGGAGGUUGAUUUGUAGUACUCCUUGGCUGCGUGCCUGCCUACCUGUCCACGAUCGAGGAGGUACGCCUUGCCAGGGAGUGUGGUGAAGCCGAGAUUAUUUGGAGGUUCGGUCGGCAAACUCCUCCGGCCACUCCAACUCUCCGGCAUACAAUCGUGCUAAUUCAAACAACAUAUUACAAGGGAAAACAAAUGGAAGUGUUAUGACUGUGCGCGGUGAUUUACUAUGUUCUGGCUUCGUUCUGGUCGCUCAGAGAGUGUGCGGGAGUACGUAGGAUGCCGGCCGCCUUGUACCAAUGGGGAAACAGUUCUCAUAUAAACAACUCAUACGCCCAACAAACACGGUGGACCUAUUCGGCCACCAAUGAAGUAAACAUCUAUAGAUUGUUUAAUGAGUAAGAUGUAGGCGUGUACUGCACAAUAUUCGGUCGAUAGGGAGAGCUGGUCAGCCGCCAGCCACACAAAUCACAAUGGUGGCCUUGCUUUUGAUGCAUAUAUAAACACGCGCUAGAGAACAAAUGAUGUUGCUCUGUGCUGAUUUCACAGAGAAAACGACGCCUACCUGCACGCAACAUGCAUGUGAUCAACCCCUCCGUUAUCAUAAUUAAUGUAUGUAUCGAUCACAAUCACAGGCCUGAUCAGUCAAUCAGAGCUUGAUUCCAUGGAGUAAAUAAUCAACCGCACGUACGUCUCUCUCUUGGGAUCUUGCCCCUUGGAGGCCACGACGAUGAACCGCACAUGCUUUGUUGCAUUUUCAUAUGUAGGAGAAUACCAUCUUGCCAUGCACCCAUUGGAUCGAUGGCAUCGCAAGAUCAGUCAACUUGUCUCAUGAAUAGUCGGCGACAAGCAUAACAUGCAUGUAUGCAUGCUGGAUGGUAGCUGUAGCAAUGGACGGUGGAGGACGGUGCAUGGCUGCUAUAGCCUUGGUAAUUAAGUAACUCAAGAACAGGAGGAUGCAUGCUACGAACAUGGACGAUGGCUACUCCGUUGUCGGUACCAGUGCAACCAUACAAGGGAGCAUGGCUGAUCAAACUCUUCUUCUCUUCUGCUCCUUCGACCCGUCCCAUUCAAUUCAACAGGAGCGUCAAAAGGUUUUCUCCCUUUGUCUCUCCGGCGAAAUAGAUUUUCCACACCUUCCACGCGUGUUGUGGAGUGGUUGCUCGGCAUUAGCUUUGUGAUGACAGCUAGUUAGCACUGGAAAAAUGCGUCCGACAUUUAUAGACUAGGAAUGUCAUGCCGUCGCCGUACACCAUUCGUAGGCAUAAAUCCAUAAAGUACAGAAUGACUUAAGAAGAUGGUGUAGGGAUGAAGGUGAUGCAUUCAACAGGACAAACAGUGCAUUUUGGGAGGGGGCUGCUCACAGCUUGACUUCUUCUGUUUUGACUUUAUAGUUUUCCUUUUCUGUUCCUUUUAUGCUUUUCGAUUUCACAAACAUUUUGAACAUCACGAAUAUUUAACUAAUUUGUAUGUUUUUCUAAUUUGUGGAUAGUUUCCCAAACAACAUGAACAUAUUUUAAUUUGAGAACUAUUUUCAUAAUAUACAUACUUUUUGAAAUUUGAGAACAUCGUCAACAUUUAUUGACAAUGGAAUCAACAGUAUUAUAAAAUGUUUUAAUUUUUUCAAAAAAUGUUUGUUUAAAUACUCGAUGAACAUCAUUUUUUAUACAUGAUUUCUAUUUUUCAUAUACUCGGUGAAUAUGAUGCAAUUAUGUGGUGAACGUUUUUCAAAACUGGAGGAAUAUUUUUAAAAACAAACAGUGAAAUUUUUCUUAAUAUAUGGUGAAAAUAUUUUAAAUAUAUCAUGAACACUUUUUUAUAAAAUUAUAUAAUUUUAAACCUUUUUUAAUGAAUUUUCAAAAGUGUUCGUGCAACUGGAAAAAAAUGUUCACGCAUGUGUUAAAAAUAUAUUAUAAUUUUGUAAGUAUAAAUAUGUAUUCAUGUGAUUAAAAAUUCAUUCGCAUUUUUAAAAACAGAUUUCUUGCAUCAUGGAAAACAUGAAGUGAAAAACCGGAGGAAAAAACUAGAAAAAGAAAUAAUCAAGUGUAAGUAAAAAACCUGCAAAAAAGUGGGCCGGCUCCGUCAAUAGUAGCUCAUGUCUUUUCUUGAGAUCCCCUAAAAAAAUGUCUUUUCUUUAGAAAAUAAAAGCGCGACAGCUAUGUAUCACCUAUUGCGUGACCAAGUACCACAUCACAAUAGGCAAUCGCUAGGAUGGACCGGCCAGUAAAGCCUGUAUGUUUGAUCAAAAGGAAGCUUCUAUGUACAGUAGGCAUAUUUUUGGAACCUGAACCUUCUGCCUGGUUUUGGGAAGGUUUCGACAAGUUUUUCUUUUUCUUGGGUUUUUAUCAUUUAUGCCACUAGUUGUGUUUCACUACUCAGUUUUGCCACUACGAAUUUUAAUUGCUCAAAAAUGACAUCGCUUCGUUAGGCACAAGCUCAAAAAUGCCACCACACACCAUUAUUGUCAGCUUUAAUCUCAUUUGCCAUGCUAUAAUGACCAAAAUACCUAUAGACCAAUAUGUCAGCUCUCCUUCUAUCUCACUACAAUAAAGUGUGGGUCUCACUUGAUCCCAACAACGUUCUUAUUAAAAAAAUAUUCGCUUGCUUACUCCUGACAAGUGGGGUCCACACUUAUCAUUGUGAGAUACGAGAGCUGACAUGUGGGUAUAGAAGGAUUUUCAUCAUAUAACAUGGUCAACGAGUUUGACCUGACAAUAACUAUGUCUAAUGGCAUUUUUGAGUAAACAUCUAACGAAAUGAUGACAUUUUUUAGAUAUCUAAUGGCAUUUUUAAGGAAGCAUCUCAUUGAACAAUGUCAUUUUUGAGCAGUUAUAACUUUUAAUGGCAAGGACACAAAUAGUGGCAUAAAUGAUAAAAACCAUUUCUUUUUUAUCUAUGCUUUUAUUUAUCUGUUUUGCCAAUUUUCUUAUAUUUUUAAUUUUACUUCCAUUUUUACUUUAUCUUUUUCAUUUUAUCUUUUUUGAUUUAUUUUUUAUUUUUCACUUGUUUUGAAUAAUCAUACUUUUUAAUACACAUUGAACAUUUUCUGAGUACACGUUGAACAAUUUUUUAAAACAUGUUAAACAUUUAUCCUAAUACAUGUUGAAAAACUUAUCAAAUGCACACUGACUAUUUUUUAUAUACAAGUGAACAGUUUUGAUAUAUGCUGAAUAGUUUCCAAAAUACAUGUUAAUGUUUUUAACACAUGUUAAAUAUUUGUCAAAUGCGCGUUGAACAUAUUUCAUAUACAAGGUGAUUUUUUUAAACACACACGGAUUUUUUUCAUAAAUGUCAUGAAGAUUUUUGCGUAACGUGUGAAUAUUUCUUAAGUGUGUAUGAUUUUCUUUAAACGUCACAAGCAUUUUAUUAUAUGUUAUUGAACUUUUUUUAAAAAAAACUGCACAGACAAAAUUAUGGCGGAUCAUCUUGCUGGAUGGUAGCUAUAGGAGCGGACCGCGCAGGACAGUACAUUGCUCUAUAACGUUGGUAAUUGAGUAACUCAGGAGGAAGCGCUACGAACAUGGAUGAUGGCUACAGGAAUGACAGAAGGAGAUUUGAGUCUGCUACUCUAUUGUUGGUACCAAUGCAACGAAAGAAGUCCACAUCACCUCCUGUGGUUUCAGAAACCGACUAACCCACCCCCCAACUCUAAAACCAGUUAACUAAUCCCCUGAGAUAUCUAAUACCAGCCAAGGCACCCCCUAAUCCCAAUUAGAGUGGUAUCUGACGGUGGUUUUGCUUACGUGGCUCUACAAGAUGGCCACGUCGGCUUGGUAUUGUGGCGCAGGAGACUUAACUGCUCCUCCGGUUUGUUUAGGCCUCGUCUCCCAUAUUUCAGGGAGACGUGAUGAUCGCCGCUUGAAGGUAGCGGCGCGACGACUCCAGGAUUCCAGGUUAGGCGCUAAGCUCUUCCAUGCCCAGCACACACGUACUUCUCUGCGUGGACUGUGCAUUGAAACUUGCACACCUGCAAGGCUGCAACGACCCUUUCUGAAUUCAGAUGUCAGACGCCAACUAGAUAGUCCUCGAUCAGUUUGGUGAUUAGUACUAACGACCCUUUGCUGGAUUUAACAGUUGAUAACCCAGGUUGAUGCCUGUCUGCAUGUACUCUAGAAGUAAUCAACAUUUGCAAAAUGCCCUGUGUAUUCCAGGAUGCAUGCAUACCUUUAGCAUGAGCGGGACGGGAGCAUUUUAAAUUUUGGAAUAGACUAGACUCAUAUAAACUCUGUUACAUACAUUUUAGAAAUUUGUAAGUAUUGAGAAGCAAUAAUAAUUUGUGCUGCUGCACUCAUUUUAACAGCACGGUUUUAUGCUUGACUGUACAUUAAUUUAGAGGUUGACUAUUGAAACAGUUCAUAUCCAGAGGGCUUAUAUAUGUGUGAUUUGUCACGGGUUUGAUUGCAUAGGGAUUCAAUCUUAUAUAUGUCCAGAGCGCUUAUAUAUGUGUUGUAUUUGCUGUUAUUUCGCAGGUAUGAAACCACUCGGUUAUCUAUCUGUCCGGCAGGCAGAACAGGGAGAGAGACAACGAGAGGAACAAUGUUCAGAAGAGAAGAUAAAUUUAGAGGAAUGUAGAGGAGAUGCAUGAGGUAGCUGAAGAUGCACAUGUAUUUCAUCGGCCCCGGAAGUUGCCAGUUUCUAGGAAGGUUGUGAAGGGAAGUAGGUCCAUAACAGGAAAAUCAAAGGUGGCUGAAGGAAAAAGAAACAAAGGGGUGGAGAUGAAUCCACAAGCAGUGAUAGUGAUUAUGAGGUUGAUUUAGAAGAAGAAAAUAGUUCUGCUGAUGAUGAAGAAGCAAUUGAAUUCAGAAAAUAUGCAAGGGACCUCAAGAACAAGGUCAGGAACAAAAUGCUUGGAGAAGAGGAUGAGAAAGCAGUUGAUGUGCCAGAGGAUUUCCUUGUCCCAGAGGAUUGCAAGCUUGAUGAUGGUGAUGGUGAUGUGACACCUUAUUUUGACAGCGUAGAUGAUUUAUCUUAUGAUGAAGCAAGUGAUGGGGAUGACAUGCCUAAGAGGAAGAAGACGGAGCACAUAGUUUAUGAUAGCACUUCUGAAAUUCCUUUAUUCUCUGUUGGUAUGGCCUUCCAUGACAGUAGGGAGUUCAAGAAUGCAUUGGUCAAGUAUGGACUGAAAACAUAUCACCACUUGUUAUUUCCAAAAGAUGAGAAAAAGAGAGUAAGUGCAAAAUGCAGUUGGCCUGGCUGUCCUUGGAGUAUCUAUGGGUCCAUUACUAGCAGGCCUGAUUGGUUGCUAGUAUGGAGGUACAAUAAUGAGCACACAUGCAUUCCAAGAAGGGACAACAAACUGGUCACAUGUGGUGUCAUUGCAAAGAAGUAUUUUAGGCAAAUCAGGGACAAUCCAUCAUGGAAGGCAGAGCAUAUUCAACAAGCUGUUCUUCAGGAUCUAGUAGCUGAUGUGUCCAUCUCCAAAUGCAAACGAGCAAAGAAACUUGUUAUGGAGAAGAUAAUUGAUCUAUCUGAUGGUGAGUAUGCUCUGGUUUAUGAUUAUCAGCUUGAGUUGCUUAGAAGCAACCCCGGUAGCACUAUCGCAGUGACAUUAAAUCCAGAAAUUCUUAACAUCAAUGUGUUUGAAAGAAUGUAUAUGUGUUUAGAUGAUUGCAAGAAAGGAUUUCUUGCAGGAUGUAGAAGAGUGGUGGGGCUAGAUGGAUGUUUUUUGAAGGGUGCAUUCAAGGGGCAGUUGCUUUGUGCAAUUGGCAGAGAUGCGAAUAACCAGAUGUAUCCAAUAGCUUGGGCAAUAGUAGAGGUUGAGAGCUAUGAGUCCUGGUAUUGGUUCAUUGGGUUUCUUCAAAAAGAUCUCCGGAUAUAACAAUGGCGAAGGAUGGGUUUUCAUCUCUGAUCAAUAGAAAGUGAGCUAAAUUUUUGUUACUCAUAUUUUUGUUAUUACAUAUAUGAUACAGAAUUAAUUCUCUUACUCUCCUAUUGUCCUUAUGGAUGUGAGAUUAUUUGCUUAUGCCAAUUUUUUAUUUCCUUAUGCUAAUUGGAGAAAAGAACACAGGGACAAGGUCUUUCAGAAAAUGUUCUGGGCAUGUGCGAAGUCAUCAGAUAGAAGCCAAUUCAAUUACAACAGGGCUAAGCUUGCACAAAACACAGUAGAAGGUGCGAGAGACAUGAUGAAAACCGCGCCAGAGCAUUGGUGUAGGGCCUUUACUUUAGGAUUGACUCUUUAUGUGACUCAGUUGAGAACAACAUGUGUGAGUCAUUUAAUAAUGCCAUCAUGAGAUCAAGGUUCUACCAUGUAGUAACGGCAAUGGAAAUCAUUAGAAAGAAGGUCACUGUGAGGAUCCAACAAAACAGAGCAAAGUCUCAGAAGUGGCAUGGAACCAUUUAUCCAAAUAUUUUUAAGAAAUUGAAGGUCAACAUUGAGAGACCCGCUAGGUGUCAAGUGUUGUGGAAUGGAAAGGAUGGGUUUGAAGUACAGGAAGGUGAGCACAGGAGAUACACGGUAAAUCUAGAAAACUGGACAUGUUCAUGUAGAUAUUGGCGGCUUUCUGGCUUGCCUUGUUGUCAUGCAGUGAGUGCAACCUACACCUGCUCGAGAGAUUUAGAUCUCUACAUUUCACCUUGCUACUCAAUAGCUGAGUACGACAGAAUUUAUGAUCAUGUUCUUCAGCCUGUGAAUGGACCAGAAGAUUGGCCAAUUUUUGAAAAACCUAGACCUCUUCCACCUAAGAAAAGAACUCAGAAGGUAGGCCCCAGAAAAAGAGAAGGCAGGAAGAAGGAGAGAAACCUAGGGACCCAUCAAAAAUGUCAUGUGCAGGCACUCAGGUCACAUGUUCAAGUUGUGGAACCCAGGGGCACAACAAAAGAAAAUGUACUAACAACAAUACUGCCGGCAAUAAAGAGCAUGCAAACUUCACAAGAGCAGCUACAAGGAGAAAGGAUAAACAAGCAAGAACAGAGGUGGCCCCUUUCUCUCUCCUUUUACUUGCAUUUUCUUCCUAACAUGUGCAAAUGUGCUCACAUUUUUUUUCAAUACUGCAAACUCAUGUCCCAUCAACACAAGAGAGUUCAGCUCCUGGUCCAUCAUCAAAGCAAGCUCCAUCUAAGCCAGCAAAUAGGAAGAAGAAGGUCUCAACUUCACAAAAUAGUCCUUCCACUGCACCUUUCUAUGGGAGAGCAAAGAAUAGAUCUCAGCCAAUGCCAAACCAAUCGGGAUUCCAAUGGUGGUUAUAUGACAAUAAUUGAACUGCUAGUUACCUAGUUACAUUCAAAUAAAUAUGAACUUUUGGUACAUGAUUCACUAUUAUGCAUGCUCUGGUUCAUGCUAUAUUAUGUAAAACUGGUACUGGUAGCACUUGUUCCCUGUUAUGUGCCACAUGUACUGUUUUGCGAUGUGGGCAUGACUUGUUCUUAUGUGAUUUCACUGCUGUGUUUAGAAAAAUGCAUUCUUCCGAAGUAAAGCUGAAACAGGACAGAUAAUUGUCGUCAUGUCUUGUUUAUUAAUUCUGCUAUUGCCAAUUUGCAAUAAUGAUGGAAAAUGUAAAUAAGAUGUUGCCAAUUUGCAACCAUGAUAGUUACAACAACAGAGUACUUCCAAUUCACAAAAGUUUUCAUUCAUGUCACAAGAAAAUAUUGCAUUCAUAUUACAUAUAUUGGUGCAUAUGCAACAGUCUGUACACUCAGAAGUACAUUCCCUAAAUAAAAUGCUUUAUCUGAAUUCUCUUUUCUCAACUAAACUGGGACAACAACACCAGCAAGAGAAGAUAACAUUUUUACAAGUACUAAUUCUCAAUCUCAACUUCACUGAAUUCUCUCUUCUAAGAGCAUUAGUACAUGCCUCUACAAAGAGUAUAAUAUACACCAUUUGGGCCCCUUGAAUGAUUCUGUGUGUAGUUUUCCUGCAAUUAUGGAUGCUUUGAGCAGGUUUCAGUUUCAGGCUCUGCCAAUCAAGGUCUACUUGGAUCAUCUAGGAGAACAACUUGGUGAAAUUGUUAACCUUCUUGCCCUCUCCAACUGCAACGUGUGACCUGCGUCUCUGAUGAUCUCUAGUCUGGAUUCCUUUCCUAUAUGCCUGCACUAACCAACAAAAAACACGACCACUGUUAUUCUCUUUUCCUUUUGAAGAAAGGCUAUGUUGUUAGUAUCAUACAGGAUUCAUGUAAGCUAAAUUACCACUCGCAUUUUACCUUUAUAGUUUGUAGGAAAAAUCGAUGGGGAACACCUAGUCCUUGUCUCCCUUGUAAUACAGAAAACAAAUUGAACCAACGACGCAUUCUACUUGUAAAAAAAUCCCAACGAAAGCAGAACAGGGCAUUGACUUCAAAAAAGCUUAAAAUUCAGUAUACCUGCAUCUGUACUGUCCCAAUUAAUACUCACGAUGUACAUCGAACAGGAACUCCAAGAUGAGAUUGCGCUGCUCCAUUGAUCCAUGGCGAGGGUGGUCCUUGUUCAGGGAGCUUCCAGGUCAUGGGAGAAUGAGGGAUCGGGGGAGGAGAGGGGCGGCCAUGGCGGCGAAUAGGGGAGGAGAGGAACCAGAGAACAAAAAAACGACUAGUUUCAGCGGGCGACCAUGGCGACGAACAAGGCAAGAGGAAGGGAUGAACUAUCGGAUUGGGGAUUGGGGAUUGGAUGAAUUAGGAACAGCCGCCGGCCCGUGCUGAUAUCUCCCGCGCCACAGUACCAAGCCGACGUGGCCACCCUGUAGAGCCACGUAAGCAAAACCACCGGCAGAUACCACUCUAAUUGGGAUUAGGGGGUGCUGGUAUUAGAUAUCUCAGGGGAUUAGUUAACUGGUUUCAGAGUUGGGGGGUGGGUUAGUCGGUUUCUGAAACCACAGGGGGUGAUGUGGACUUCUUUCCAAUGCAUCUAUGGUUAGAGCAUCUCCAGCCGCGCUCCCAACAGGCCCUCCCCAGGCGUUUUUGCCGCGUCGGCGCCGAAAAAAUGGCCCAGUCGCGCCCCCAGAAGCCCGUUUUUCGCCGGCUCGGGCUGAAACUGGUGCCGGCGAACCUAGGCCGAACCCGGCGCCCUAGGGGGGCGCCGGCACAAGCGAAAAGGGCGCGUGGGUCCGCCCUGUCGGCGAGUCGAGCGCCUCUUCCCGCCGUUUCUUCCCGCUUUUUCCCCAGUUCCCUCCCAUUCUCUCCACUCCUCCUGCCAAUCUCCCUCCUGCUCGGCUCCCAGCCGGCCGCCAUGCCACCGAAGAGGUACGUCGUCCCCCGUGCCGCGGCAACCGCGAUCGCCUCCGUCGCCCAGCCGAAGCAGAGGAAGCCGAGGGCACCGCCGUCCAAGCCACCGGGCAUGACAAACGCCGAGUGGAGGGCGGAAGUUCAGCGACGGGAGGCUGUCACCGCCGACCAGCGGAACAGGGCAAUCGCCAAGAAGGCCCGUGACAACGCGGCGCGUGCGGCUGCGGCUUCGGCGGACCAAGCCGAGGCCGAGGCGACUCGUGCGGGGAUGAUGAAUCCACCCGGCAGCCACACCCAGUACGCGCCCUGGAGCCAGCAAGGCGUCGGCUCUCUGUGGGGAUGCACGCCCUCGCCGGGCUACGCCGACGGGGACACGCACGGUGGGUGGACACCCGGCCCAGCGCACGCCCUCGCCCGCCUUCGCCGGCGUGCAGUACCCUCCAUACAACUACUCGCCGCCCGCCUACGCGUCCUCCCCGACGCCCACUCUCCGCCAUGGCGCGCUGCCCUUCUCGCACCUCGGCGACACCGACGACAUGGACGAUAUCAUCGCGACAGGCUCGGCCGCGGCCGCCGCGUCUCCCGGGUUCGUCACUCCGGAGGACACGGUGGAUUUCAGCGGCGGCAUGGACGGCGAGCUCGGCUACGUCUACGGCGAGGAGGAGCAGGAGGAGGAGGACGAAGAGGAGGAGGAGGAGGAGGAGCCGGCGACUGUUCCGGCGUGGAGGCGCAAGAAGAAGAAGCGGGCGGCCAGGUCCGGCGAGCCGCGCAUCAAGUGGGCGUCCAAGGAGCCGGAAUGCCUCGCCGAAGCAUGGAAAGUCGUCUGCCUCGACCCGACCACCGGCACGAACCAGAGCAUCGAGACGACUGGGAGCGCAUCAAGGCUGAGUUCGAUGAGCGCAAGCUCGUCGACCCCUACUUUAAAGGCGUCUACAUGCAGCGCGGGGCGAAGGCGAUGGCGAACCAUUGGGGGCUCAUCCAGGGGCCGUGCAACAAAUGUCAUGGGAUCGUCGAGGAGGUCGUGGCUCGCCCGGAGACCGGCGCCAGCGUUGAGGAUCAGGUAUGGCAUGCCGGUCUCCCGCCUCUCUUCGCCGUGUGCAUCCGCCAACUGUUUGUUCCUCCGCGCAAUUGCUGCGCAUGUUCGCCAUGUAUCGGCAGGGCAACAGCGACGCCGAAUUCAAGUACCUCCACGUUUACAAGCGCAUUGACAAGUGCGAGAAGUGGGCGGAAGUCCGGCGCACCCUCGACAAGGCCAAGGAGACCUACAAGCCGGACGCACAGACUCGGGGCGCGUCAGAAGGGCGGCCGGACGGCAACAAAGGUGCCAAGAAGGGGAAACACGCCGACGUGGCCACCACUCGGGUGCGGGAGUCCAUCGAGCACUGCCUCGCCGACGCACAGGCCCGGGCCGCCCUUCGUGAAGAGAAGACCGAGGCGUGGCGGUCGGCGUUGAUGUCGAGAAGCGCCGUCAAGCUCGACCUACUCCGGACCAACGUCGCCGCGAAGAAGAGAAACACCGACCUGGCUUUCCUGCUGGGCGGGCGGGACAUGCUCCAGAGCAACGAUGAGGCGGUCAAGGCGUGGUACUUGGCGCAGCGUGGCCUCAUCCUGAACCAGCUUCCCUCGACGACGCCGCCCACGCCGACGUCACCGCCAAGCCCGAGCGAUGAUGCCGCCGAGACUCCCCGCAGCACAGAAGCCACGCCGACGCCGCCCAGCACAGAGACCCCGCCAAGCCCGCGCACGCCGACUCCGUCGACGCCGGAGGCCGACCUCGCCGUCUGAUGCGCACGCGCGUCCUUUCUUCUUUUUGUACGCCGAACUUUUCAUUCGAUCGCCGAACUUGUGAUCGCUUGAUUGCCGGAUUUGUGGCCUCUAUUUUGUGAGCGGGAAUGAGCCUACGUUUGAAUUUGCCGCGGUGCCUGGGGGCGUGGCUGGGAGCUAGGUCGCCCCCAGGGGCCAAUCUAGCGCCGGUUCACCCCCAGGCCGCUCUUUUUCGGCGCCCUGGGGGGCUGAAUGGCUGGAGAUGCUCUUAGGGAGCAUUGCAGAUCAAACUCGUCUUUCUCUUCUGCUUCCUGUCGAUCCAUUCCAUUAUAUAGGGCGACAAAAGGUUUCUCCUUUUCUCCGGCGAAAUUGUAUUUUCACAGCUUGGAUGCAUGUACAUGGUGGAAGUAAUUGCACACGGUUUAGGUCAUCUUCAACGCGGACCCCUCAAAUAGCCCGUAAUUAUAAUUGUGUACGGGUGGGCAUGCAAUUGAACUUGCUCAAACAUGUAAAUAUAGUUACGCGGGGCAUGAAAAACCACAAAAAGUUAAAUACAUAAAUUGAUCAAAUAAAAAAAUGAGAUAUAAAAAAUACGCAUGAAUCUCCUCGUAAACCCAGACAGCGCACGACCUAUGUGAGAUUUAAUUAAUUCUCAUCUAGUCGAGAGCUAGUAAAUACCCAUCAUUUUUUGGGUAGUACUCGCAAUGUUCUUUUCGAGUUUUCAAAAAUACCUGCCUCCAUGGGGUGAAAUGGCACCUUAUAGUACCAUAGACCAUAAAAUGUACACGCCCAACAAUCAAGGAAUGGGGAGACUACAUGGUAGGCCCACAUUCAGUCACCAAAUAAAACCCCUACAUCAUUUCUUUAAGAUGUUAGCGUGUACAGACAUACUCUGUCCGUUUCUAAAUAUAAGACAUUUUUUAUAUUUUAAUAUAGACUACAUAUGGAUGUAGAUGUAUAUAGACGUACCUUAGAUUAUAGAUUCACUCAUUUCGUAUGUAGUUCGCAUUGUAAUAUCUAAACAGGCAUCGGCAACAAAUCUCGGCGACGAUCACAACGGUGACCAUGCUUUUGAUGCAAAUACUAAGAGUUUAAAACCUGAGCUAGAGAACAAAUGAUGGCUGCCACCUGGAUGGCUGCAUGCAUCAUGCAUGUGACGGGCCCGACCUGGCCUAGUACGUACUAGCCUCGGUUCUCUUAACUGGAGGAGGGACGUACGUACGUCUCCCUCUUGGUCUUGGACAUCACCACAUGCUUAUUGCAUUUUAAUAGCCAACUAGUGGGAAUUUUUUUAGCUGCUACUCCCUCCGUUCCAAAAUGUAAGUCUUUUUAGAGAUUUCAACAAGUGGCUACAUAUAGAGCAAAAUAAGUGAAUCUAUAUUCUAAAAUUGUCUACAUAUAUCCGUAUGUUGUAGUCCAUUUGAAAUGUCUAAAAAGACUUAUAUUUAGGAACAGAGGGAGUACAUUGGUCAAGGAAGACACUGGCUCUGCAUGUGCAUUUCUGCACCCAUAUAAUUGAGUAGUAGGCCUGGAUGAUAGCUGCGUGAACGACAGAGGUCUGUGGGGUAGGUGAUCGAGGAGGACCCUGCUGCUGAAUGUUGAAAUAUACUGCCUAUCUUUCUUCAUCAACUUUUAAAGCAAUUGACUGGAAUAUAAAUUCAAUAUUAAAUGCGUGGGUGAUGGCCACAACAACGAACGAACGGAGGCUAAUUCACGUUACUCCUUGGUCUCGUGCCUACCCAUCAGACACUGUAAGUGUUGUUCAUGUGUCAGAGUUGAACCCAUACAUGAGCAAUGAGGCCAUAGGAUUUGUUGUCUGGCUUUGUGUUUCCUCUAUGAGCCAGGUAAAACCACAAGGGGAAAAUGGCAGAAAAGCUAGGAUGCCGGCCGCCUUUUGUACAGUUGUACCAACGGGAAAAAAGUUUUCCUAAACAACUUUACGCCCAACAAACACAACGGCACCAAUGAAGUAAACGAUUAGGAGAUUGUUUAAUAAGAUAUUCGGUCGAUAGGGAGAGCUGGUCAGCCGCCAGCCACACAAAUCACAAUGGUGACCUUACUUUUGAUGCAUAUGUAAACACGCACUAGAGAACAAAGGAUGUUGCCCAGUGCAGCAGUGCUGAUUUCACAGAGAAAACGAUGCCUACCUGCAUGUGACCCCGGCCUUCGUUUUUUAUUAACAUAUCGAUCACAAUCAUAGGCCUAAUCAGCCAACCAGAGCCUAAUUCUAUGGAACAAAUAAUCAACCGUACGUCUCUCUGUUGGGAUCUUGCCUCUUGGAGGCCAAGACGACGCACCUCUCUCACAUGCUUGCUGCAUUUUCAUAUGGAAGAGAAUACCAUCUUGCCAUGCAGCCACUGGAUCGAAGGCAUCGCAAGAUCAGUCAAUUUGUCUCAUGAAUUGUCGGCGACAAGUAUAACAUGCAUGCAUCCAUCGCAACGCAAGAAGAGUCAAAUUGUUUCAUGCAUUGCCGGUGAGGUAACAUGCACGCAUGCAUGCUGGAUGCUUAGCUGUAGCAAUGGACGGUGGAGGACGGUGCAUGGCUGUAUAGCCUAGGUAAUUAAGUAACUCAAGUAGAGGAGGAUGCAUGCUACGAACAUGGAUGGAUGAUGGCUACGGGAACGACAGAGGGAGAUCCGUAUCUGCUACUCUGUUGUCGGUACGAGUGCAACUAUGCAAGGAAGCCUUGCAGAUCAAACUCUUCUUCUCCUCUGCUCCCUUGACCCGUCCCAUUCAGUUCAAGAGGGGCGUCAAAAGGUUUCUCCCUUUGUCCGGGGAAUAGUUUUCCCACACCUUCCACGCGUGUUGUGGAAGUAACCGGACGCGCUUUAUUAGUUUCGUGAAGGCCGCUAUUGUUUUUGACACGGUACAAACGCAGACGUUUAUACAACACAUAAUACACUCACCCCGACGAACGGGCAUAUAUACGCACACCGUAUCACUAUGAGCAUGUCGGAGAGACUGAGCCGGCACAUCAUUUUAAGAUUGACAAACAUGGAUGAAAUGUAACAUGAGUACUAAGCAACGGCGGAGCUACGUCGUAUGCUGCAGGGGCCAUGGCCCCUCCAGCCAGGGUAAAUUAUGCAAAAGAAAGGGAAAAUAUGGAGGGGAAAAUUAGGGAAAAUAUGGACUUUUGCCCCCCUCAAUCAUCCCUAUUUUCUGCUUUGCACCCCCAAAAGAUUUUACUUAGCUCCGCCAGUGGUACUAAGCAUGUCAUGGCGUGACCGUGGAGUGGCUACACCGUUCAUACACAUCAAAGCACAAUUUUGACUUACAAAGAUGAUAUCUUUUUCUUUUGUGGCGGCAGACAAAGAUGAUGUCUUCAACAAGACCUACCGUGAAGUGCACCAUGCGUUGAAGCACCACUGCGAAGUGCCACCGUGGGCAGCUCAGAUAAAUCCAUCCGGCAAGCAUAUCUUCUAUUAAUGUGCUAAGGGCAAAUCCGACGAAGAUCACCAAGUGGACAUAACAAAAUGUCCGUGGACAGGUCCGGGCGUGUCCGCGAACGGUGGUCUGGGCUCCGGCCAUCCAAUCCCAGUCACCCGAUGUCCGUUCGUUCAUUUUUUUUCUAUGUGCAAAGUACAUUGCGCAAUUCUUCAGAUAAUUGGGAAAAUAUCCCAGUACAACAAAUAUCACAAUUCUUCUAACUAAAACUAAUUGAUGUACCAGACGAUGACCUCCGCCGUCGUCCGAGGCAUCGUCGCGAAAUGGAGCAAGUGGUCGCCAAUACGAGUUAUGUGAGCGAAGUCUCUCAUCCUUCUCAUAUGGGAGGAGAGACUUCGCUCACAUUUAUGGUUACCUUUGUUGUUGUUGUUGUUGUUGUUGUUGUUGUUGUUUGCGUGAAUAUUAUUUGGUGUCAUCAUGUAUUUACAGAAUAUUUAUUAAUUUUAUUUCCUAUAUAAUAAUUCAAUUAUAGCCACACAUUGUACGAAUUUUUAUUUGAUGCAUACAAAACAAAGCACUAUGCAAUUCCAUUGUUUGUCAUCAAAACAUGAUUUGGUAUUGGAACCUCACCCAGAUUCCAUGAGCAUCCAAAAAAGAAAAUUCGUAUUCAUGUUCACUACAAUUUCAUGGCUGAAUUGGAAAACCAAUUCAAUAUGGAGGCCUCAAAUACGAACACCCAAACGCAACAUUAAGUGGUAUCACUAACAAAUAAUGUUCGCAUGCUCCUAAAUUUUUGGAGCGGUAAAAAUUAAACUAGAAAAUAUGUAAUUAAGAGAUGACAUCUUGUGGAAUUGAUAUAAUUGUCUUAUCAUUAGUAUUAAGAGAUUUCCUUAUCAUUUCUCUCUCUCUUGCAACUCAAGAAUUAUCCUGGAUGGCAUCCAUAAUAUAUGAACACUGCAUAUCUUUAGUGCCACAAGGCCAAAUAAAAUAAAGAAUAAAUUCCAGGUUUUACCUCCUAUUUUGAAAUUUCGGACGCUAAUUAUCUCAUUUUACAGUUUUGCAUGUGGAUUAGACCAUUUAGCUCCUGUUUUUACACAAUUUAGAGAAUGAUUUAUUAGUUUUACCAGUUGUAGCGAAUAUUUUUCCAGUUUUACCCCUUUCAGUUAUCGAGCGUGGUAUGCUAGGCUGGCCUCCGCUGCCACUAACACCAGUCUGCCACAUCGCGAUUGUCCUCCUUGCAUUUUUUUUUCUCGCGCUUGAUCUAGUUCGCAGCCCUAAGUCAGACUUGUCCACUCACCCGCAAGCAAAUGUUUAGGAGAACCAAAAACAUGAUGCAGCUUUUAUGUGUGUAUGAGAAUCAUACGAGAAAAAAACUAUGUACGAGUAAGCCAUUCGACGCAUUCAUGCAUAGAGAAAAAAUCUACAGAAAAGUAUGACAUCGCAUGCUACAUGUACCGACUUCUCAGACACACUAUAACAUCGAUGUUGAAAAUCUAAAUGGGGUAAAAACUGGCCAAACUUUCGCUAAAUGAGAUAGUUUAGAUGAAAAGAUGCUAAAUAGUAUAAUUUAACGUCACAACUUCCAAAGUAAAAGUAAAAACUAGAAUUCAGUCUAAAUAAAUUAUAUUUCAUUAUAUUUUAGAACAUCCAUUUCAUAUAUAGUACCUCUUGUCUUUAUUGUGUUCUUCAAAUUCCAAAUAGUUACUCCCUCCGUUCCAAAAUAUAGUGCUUACUCUAUUUUCGUGCUUCAACUUUGACCAUAAAUUUAACCAACGAGACCAACUGCGGCGGGAGCAAAAGUUAUACCAGUGAAUUCGUAUUCAAAGAAGUUUUCACUAAUAUAUUUUUUUCUCCCGCCGCAGUCGGUCUCCUUUGUCAAAUUUAUGUCAAAAUUGGACCUCGGGAAGCACGGGUGCACUAUAUUUUGGAAUGGAGGGAGUAUGACAUCCAUGAGCCCACCUUGAUCUACGUGAUACCAAACAAACAAUGCUUGACCCAAGCAUGGAUAAGGCGUUUUUAUCGGCAGGAACGGGCCUUAUAUUCCAUCUUUUUGUUCGCUCAGACCCGUAGCCCAUUGGACCGCCCCCCACACGCAUGAACCAUCAAAAAAUAAAAGUGAUCCCACUAAAAAAAGUGAACUACAUAAGAAUUGUGCGCAACUUCCAGAUCUCAUCUACUGUGACCGAACGACGGAGAAAUCGUAUUCGGUGCUUGCCGCGCCAAAUAGCACCGUUUUUGUACGCAGCACACAUGUACUGGGCCGGUCCAUAGAAUGUUCUUUUUUCUUUGAUUCCAGUUAUUUUUCCUUUUUGUGUUUUUCUUCUGAGUUUAUUUUACAUUUUUUCCUCUUUAUUAUUUUACAUUUUCCUUUUUUGUUCUCAUUUAAAAAUUCUUGUUUUUUGCAAAUUUGGAUUCACGCAUUUUUUUCAAAUUUGGCUGGUUAUUUAAUUCAUGAAUUUUUUAAUCCGUGAAGUUUAAAAGAACAUUUAAAGUUUACAUUUGUGAGUUUUUAAAAAUAUUGAAAUAUUUAAAAAUUCACACAUUGAACCAUAAUAUCUCACGCAGGUCCUCUUGCAGAGCCGCAUGUAGGCUCAAGCGCCGCUGCGGUGCCCGCUUGUCACACAUGGUCUCGCCGGACGGGAUCUUGGGGAGGGCUGGUGAGAGAGGCAAAGAGGGGAGAGAGAUACAGAGAUUUCUUGUGUCUUUUUUUGGGUUGGGUCCAACCUGUAGAGAGACGUGGAAUUUUUCUAUAAAAAAAUUGUGCACAAAACGUCUCAUAGACAGUCAAACCCCUUUGGCCGGAUGGAAAUGUCACGAAAGGACAUUUAUAUCAGGGAACCAAAUCGCAAAGGGGCAAAGUUGAGCAGUCUUUGAAAUUAGGAGUAUAGCUAAGUAGUGAGUUCGAGUUGAGGGCUGAAAUAAAUUGAACCAACUUUUUUUUUCAAAUAUGAAAUUUUUUCUUCGAAUGUCAUCAUUUUUAAAAUGCAUGAAAAUUAUUCAAAUCCACGAAUGUUAUGGAGAAAUUCAUGAAUAUAUUUUUUAAUUCACGGACAUUUUUCAAAUCUGUGAACAUUUUUAAAUUUAUGAACUAUUUUUCCAAUUCGACAUUUUUUAAUUUCACCAUUUUCGUGGAUUUUGUAAGCAUUUUUUUUUUGUUUUUUGAAUUCACAGACAAUCUUCGAACCAGUGAAGAAUUUUCUAAAAUUCGUGAUUGAUUCAAAUUCAUUAGAAAAUAGUAGCUGUUUCUUCUAAACCAACGAGCGACAAAAGAAAAGAUCAAGCAAGUGACCUUACGUCGACCAGUGUGCGAUGAACUCCCAUUAGAGCUUCAGCCUAAGAAUGUCCGCGCGUGCAUUGCAUGGCAGAGUGGCGGCUGAAGCGCUAAAAAGGAGCUCCCUGAAAGACAACUCUCCUCUGGUGCGCCCAGAAGGAGGUCUACCAAAUAACAUGCGCACCAUCACUUCCUACGAGCUGAUUUGGGAAAGCUUCUAUGGAAUGAUCUGGAACGAUGUUUGAAACUUCCACGUUUUUUCUUUUGUUCUGUGUGUUUGAUUUGUGCAUCGAAUUUAUUCUGGUUUUUUUGGUAUUUUUGUUUGCUAUUUUAUUAUUUUUUCUUCUUUUUAUCAAAGACAUGUCGACCCAUAUACACGUUGAAGCUUUUUUUCUUUGAACAUUUUUCAAAUACAUGUUGAAUCUUUUUGCGGGUAAAUAUGGGUUGAAAUUUUUAGUGUAAUACAUGUUGAACAUUGCACAUUGAGAUUUUUUUCUAUACGGGUAGAAUACUUUUGAGAUAAACGUGGAACAUUUGUCAAAUGCAUGUGGAACAUUUUGCUGAAUACUUGUUGAACAUUUUGUCCAAUGCACAUUGACCAUUCUAAAAUACGUGGUGAGCAUAUUUUAAACACAAUUGGCCAUUUCAGUAAAUGCCAUGAAGAUUAUUAAAAUUUUCUAAACCUUUUUAAAGCGUUACAAACAAUUUUUAAAUGCCACAAUUUUUUGAAUGGUACAAAGCUUUUUCCAGAAAUUAUAUGAACAAUAUUUUUACGUUUCAUAAAGUUUUGUAAAGAAUUCAUAACCAUACUUUUAAAAUGUUGAACAUUUUUUAGCUGUGAUGAACCAUUUUUUUUGAAUGCUAUCAGUUUUUGUAAAUAAUACGUGGAGGAUUGUUUUACAUUACAUUAACAUUUUUAAUGAGCGGUGAGCUUUUUUAUUGUAUGAACAAUUUGUUAAUACACUUUAGUUUUUUAAAACAUUUUUCAGACGAACAUUACAUUGAACAUUUUUUGACUGCAUGUUAAUCAUUUUUUUAGAUAACAUUGAUCAUUUUUUAACAUAUUUUAGUUUUUAUAAAUAUAUGUUAAAUUUUACAUAUACAGAUUGAACAUUGUUUUAGUGCAUGUUGAACAUUUUUUAAUACAUGUUGAUUAUUUUAUUAAAUAGUUGGGAAAAUUGCAUCAUUCAUGGGGAAGGUUUUUAUGUGUCACGAACAUUCUUACGAAAUUUGUCAAAUAAUCUUUACAUUUCAUAACAUUUAUUAUGAAUCACGUGAACAAAAUUUUAUAUUUGUCACAAGCAGUUUUAUCAAAUUACAUGAAAUUUUUUCUAAACAUGUGAACCAUUUUGAAUUUUAUGAACAUUUUUGAAAAGUACGUGAAUCUUGGAGCUGCCCCAAAAAAUUUGCAGCACAAUUAUAUGUAUAGGGUAACUGCUGGGCUGCUCUAUUUUACAUCACUUGUUGGUAGACCCUGGACAUGGACAGCCCGGCCUGAAAGCCUGACAUCCGGGCUGGGCUCGGGCUCAGCUGUUCUGCGUGAAGCCCGGCCAGAAAUCCCGAAAAUAAGCCUGAACAUGGCAUAAAUUAUUAUUUUAUUACAAAUAUAGGUACAAUAUAUAUGUUUAGUAUCCAAAAAAUUAAUAUUUUAAUAAAAAAAGUGUUAAUGUGUUUUGGGCCGAGCCAGGCUGGGCAUUGGCUUGGGAUUUUACGGUCAGGCUUUACAAAGGCCGGCCCGAACCAAGCCCGGCCCAGAGAAUGCCCAGUUGGAGAUGCUUUAACGUACCUGCUCAUUUAUGUGCCUGUAACUUUACCUCAAAAAAAAAAUUAUGUGCCUGUAAGGCACUUGUGAAUUGAUGCCUUAAGUUUGAUUGCCUGAUGUUGAAUAAUCAGUGAGGCUUUAUGAUUGGACUCUCAAGACAGUAGCUGGCCAUGAAAAUGAUGCACCAUCAUGGCAUCUAUCACAUGACCGUGAUCGCAAACUUGCUGGCGAUCGAAAAGGCAGACAUGCAUGUACCCAUCAGCGAUGCAUGCCGACGGCCAGCAGCCACCCGGAAUCGAAUGAAGCAACAGCGGUACAGAACAGUAAUAAACGUGGGUGGAAGGAAUCCAGCCCGGUAAAAACUGUCAAGACAAUAGUGAACCCGAUGGACAUCACGCGUGCGUGCGGGCCAUCGUUGCCGACUACAGCACACGGCGAUCGACGGCAGUGGCAGCGGUGCAACAGCAAUGCCGGGAGAUCCACACAAAAUCUGCCCUAAUAAUGCAGCUACAGUACCGGGGAGAAGCCAGCCAUGGAACGGCAUCGACGGAGGCCGUGAGCUCACCCGUCACCAUGCUGGCUGCCACAUCACGACUGACUGGGCUUUCACUUGCCUCGAUCGCUCGACGGCCAGGGAGGGGAGGGGAGCUGCUCCGUCGCUCUCGUCCCUCCUCCGGUCGGGUUGAGUCGUGCGUGGGUGUGCCGUCCCACCGUCCACGUGUGCGGUCCGCGGGGUCGCCUGGUGGCGGAUGCUGACUCGGCUCGCCUCGGCCGUGCACAUCAUGCGCACGUUCUCCUUUUCUUUUUCUGUUGUGAUUGACAGUGAAACGGGCAGGAGAGGUUCCAAACAUGCGUCCUCCCUUUUGGAUAUUUGAUUGAAGCUUUUCAAGAUGUCUUCUUCGACCUUUUUGGAGAUGCCGGCAAUGACGAUGGAGCCGCUUGCUGCAAAUAGUGAGCCGACCGUGGACGCACCACCCUACGGAGAAGACGAUCGACUUGUCAAUUUACGACGCGUCAACCUUGAUGCCGAGGCCAAGGCGUGGGAGGUGCAAAUAUAUAUUCCUUUUUCAUUUCAAUUUUUGAAACAUCUAUAGAUGUGUGCUCGCACGUUUGUUUGUUGCAUAUAUAAACCUAGCUAGUGCAUGCAACACUGCAUCUGCGUGAAUAUGAUUGAGCUGGAGACCCUCCCUGGACGACAGAGGUAUCUGUCUGACUGUGGCUGUGGGGUUGGUGGGGAGGGAGGGGAGGAGCCCAUGGAUGAAUUGAAAGGGACAGCAACGGCGGAGAGGCUAAUUCAUCUGUGGCUUGACCUUGAUAUUAUGGCAUCAAGUGACCACACCCUUCAUACAAACAGAUCUGCUGCUGUUUUUCUGGGGUCUCCCUCAUCUUUGCAGCUAUAGAGCUGCGAGAUUCUGCGGCUGCGUUUUGUGGUCUCUGGUGCAAAGGCAGGCGAUUUCCUGUUCCUUUGUGCUGGUAGAUCUAGUCCCUGAUGCUUCGGGAGGUUCAAGUGGUGUGUAGUCGGUUCUAGCCAGUCAGACUGCUUGGUUUUCUUAAUGAAAAUCAGGGCCCGUUCUACGUUGUGCUGCUCACAAAAAUUCGUUUGUCAAGUAUUUUCUUUUCGGAAUUCACGAGGUACGGCAUUUAGUUAUGGGAGCCAUGUAACUGUACUUUGAUUACGUCAGGUACGUAUAAGGGCAUGGCCCUAGGAUGAUGCCCCGUAAGCCAUGUAGGAUCGGGUAUCAAGAAAAGUAGGUUCGGAUGAUGUAGCGGGAUCCUCGGCAUGAGGCGGGUGCUUAGGAAGAAAAAUGUGGUCAGCUGCAUAAAGUUGAAAAAGUUAAAGCGGAGAGUAGUGAUGCAUGUGUGAUGGGAGUCUACUUUCUAUUCUUUGACGUGUUUCCCUUCUGAAGAAAAAUACAACAUGAUUGCUUUCCCCAAAAAUACAAAAUACAAAGAUUGCAUACAAAAUGAAUAAGAAAUUAGACAACUUGAACUUGAAAUAGUCACUUAUAUUUGGUGGUAGGCAUCCAUGCCCUUUUAAUUUACCCGUAAUUGAUUUACAGGUGACCAACAUCAUCUAAUUCAUCUUACUAAAACCAAAACCGGAACCAAAAACAUAAAUCAAGAUGACAGGUAGACUUGCUGGUGCUCCACCGCUAAAAAUCUGUCCAAGAUAAAAGGAAGCUCCACGGACCGAGCAAAAAAUCCAUUACUUGUUGUAAGUGAUCAGUCUAAUCGAGGACUACCAAGUCGGCGUCCGUGAAUAUCCGGUUGUACGACGAAUCCAUGUCGUGCACAAUGAGCUUCUCAGCGGUGAUGGUGGCGCUGGUGGCAUUGUUGAACAGGUAGACCCCCGCCGCCGCGUAAAUGGCCUCCGUCGGGUACGCCCUCGACGUCGCCGUCAUCCUCCC